GGGAACACAAUCGGCAGAAAAUCUACGAUGAGUACCCCUACCCGGCGACAUUAAACGUUGGUAACUUUGUUUCAAUUUAUCUUUCUGCCGAUAAUUUCUUGCAAUGACGGACACCGAUGGUGAAUCUGUUAGAGGAACAAAACCUCAUUGAGUUUGUCGAUGGCUCAAUGACGGCACCCCUGAAGUUUAUUGAUGAGUCGGGGAGGGAAGUAGGGGUAUUAACUGAAAAUUUAAAUCAAAAAGGGGUAUCAACUGAAAAUUCAAAAUAAUUAAACCCUAGGUUUAAAUUAUGGAGAAGGACUGAUCGACUAGUAAAAGGUUGGAUUACUAGUCGACUGUCUUCGACAACAUUGAGCCUUAUUACUGGGAUAGAAACAUCAAAAGGGGUAUGGGAUACAUUAAAAAAUACGCAUGCCCAAGAUUCAAUUGAAAGAGAGUUUUUACUGACGGAAAAGAUACAACUUAAAAAAGAAUCUUCUAUGCCAAUUCAAGACUUCUGAAAAUUAUAUUUGAUGAAUUGAAUUUGAUAGGAAGAAUACUUGGAGAUGUAGAAAUAACGUACUUCCUAUUGAAUGGAUUAGGAGAGAAAUAUGAGUCUUUUAAGACUGUCACACUAAAACCACCAGUCCCAUCUUAUAAUUCUGUGGUUCCGCAACUCAUUAGUUAUGAUUUGAGGAAUGGGUUAACGACUGAAAAAAGUACUAAUUUAUUGUACAUGGAUAGGAAAAAUAAAGGGAAAUUUUAUAAAAAUAAAGAAAAGGAAAAAAUGCUGAAUUUAAUUCUAGAGGUAGAGGUUUUAAGCCACAUAGAUCUAAUGAUGGCUGGAAACAAUACAAAGGAAGAUCAGAAGGUAGGAAUUUAUGUCAAAUCUGUAAUGAAUCAGGUCAUCAAGAAAUGGUCUGUCCUAAUAGAUUUGAUCACUCAGUUCAAGCUAAUGAUUUACAUCAUGAGAUGAAUGCUCUAAAUAUGGCAGAAGAUUUUUAAGCUCAAGAAUGGCUAACAGACGCUGGAGCUGCAGCACAUAUGACAUAUAAUGAAGGUGAUCUUGAUUCCUUCAAACCCUAUACUGGUAAAAAAUGUGUAAAGGUAGGAAAUGGAAAAGAAUUAGAUAUUUCAUUUAAAGGAGAUAAAACUAUAAUUUUAGAUGAUGAUAAAAAAUUAUAUCUAAAAAAUGUGUUGGUAGUACCAAAUAUUAAGAGAAAUGUACUAUCAAUUAGUAUAUUAACAAAAGAAUUUCCUUUUGUUUUUGAAUUUGAUUCUACUCAUUUUAUGAUUAAGGAUCCUCUGAGGAGAAUGAUGAAGCACGGAAUCUGCUACCAGUAGGCUCGCGGGGUUGCGAAAAGGGCCGGAGGCUUUGGAGUCCACGACGCGCGCUCUACGUCAAACACCUGCAGAAGAGGAGGGGAAUCGGCGACUCUCUUAGGAGUAGGCAAUUCGGGCUCCUUGGAUGCUCUAGUGUGGAGUGUAUGUGGUCAAGAUAUGUUGUCAAUGGAGGACACCCCUAGGACCCCUUUUAUAGGGUCCUGGAGGCAUUUCCCCAUUUAAUAGAAUGGGGCCCACCCCAUUAUGGUACCCUAUUGAAGGGCGCCAUAAUGGUGUGGGCCCACUCAAGUAACGGUUGGGAGUCGGCGACUCAAGUAUGGGAGUCGCCGACCCAGAGGUGGAGUCGCCGACUCCUUUGAGGCCAGGUCCUCGGUCUACCAGACCCGAGUUCCCUGGCUGGAGUCGGCGACUUGGUAGUCCCAGUCGGCGACUCCCAGGUGUUGUCUUGAGUUCUUAACGUAGACACGUGCUCCGCACCGUAGAAGCCUUCUGAGGGUCCGGCAUAUAGCGACGGAACCCUAGUCCUUGUUGAAGGACGUUGUUGGGAGUGACUGACGUAAUCAGGCAUGUCUCACCAGAGAACUAUAGUAGCCCGGGGGAGCAGAACUAAAGAUGAUCUCUAUACUUUAAGAUCUAGGAGCACUGAACUAUAUGCAAAUGUGGUUGCAAGAGGUGAAAGUGAAAACAUUUGGCAUCAUAGAUUAGGACAUUCGAAUAAAGAAAUUCAGAAAUUUUUAAAUAAAAAAAAAACAUAAUAAAUGUAAUUGAUUAGAAUGAUAAAAAUAGUAAAUGUGAGGGAUGUAUGAUGGGAAAAAUGUCGAUACUUCCAUUUUUACAUUCAAAGUCAAAUUCAAAUGCUAUUUUUGAUCAAAUUCAUUAUGAUAUUUGGGCCCCCUCCCCAAUUUCAUCAAAAUUAAAUUUCAGAUUUUAUGCAUGUUUAGUAGAUGAUUUUUCUAAAUAUACAUGGUUUAUACCAUUAAGAUUUAAAUCUGAUUUUACUAAUUCCUAUUUAAAUUUUGAAAAAUAUGUUUUUAGACCAUUUGAAAAAAAGCUAAAAAUAUUUCAAUAUGAUGGUGGAGGUGAGUUUUGUAAUAACAAGUUGCAAGAUCUCUUCAAAAAUGAGGGUAUUAAAAUGCAAAUGUCUUGGCCUUCAACUCCUCAACAGAAUGGGGUAGCUGAGAGAAGACAUAGAAACAUCAGGGAACAAGGACUGUCACUAAUGUUCCAUAGUGGAGUGCCACAAAGGUUUUAGGUAGAAGCACUUGAUACUGCUACCUAGUUACCUUAUGAAUAGAACUCAUUCAGUCUCCUUGGGACAUAUUUCACCAUUUGAGAAAUUGUAUGAAAAAGAGUUUAAUUUCAACAAUCUAAGAAACUUUGGAAGGGCCCACGUCAUUCCCAACCGUUACUUGGGAGGGCCCCACGCUAAUGAAUGGGGAAACGUCCCCCAGGACCCUAUAAAAAGGGUCCUUGGGGGUCCUCUACUCCCAAGUCAUUCCCACUUGACCAAACCACACCAGAGCAAAUUAAGGAGCCCGAGUUGCCGACUCCCACACCUGAGUCGCCGACUCCCCUUCACUUAUGCAGGUACAUUGACGUAGAGCGCGCGUCGUGGACUCCAAAGCCUCUGGCCCUCCUCGUGAUCCCGCGAGCCUACUGGUAGCAGAUUUUGUGCUUCAUCAUUUGUGGAACAACCACAAUGUUUUAAAGACGAAAAGUACCUAGAACAUGUAUGGAGACUAAAGAAAGCCUUAUACGGGCUUAAUCAAGGUCCAACAACAUGGUAUGACACUUUAAGCAAAUUUCAAUAAUAUAUAUUAUAUAUAUAUAUAUUUAGGUUAUAAUGUAUUAAUUUUGGGACAUAAUACAUAUCGCGAUUUGGGGAAGAAACCGAUUCUCGUUUCUUCACAACAGCUCUUCUUCUUUGAGCAGAUCUCCUCCCGUCGAUCCCUUCUAAUCAUCAUCUUUAAUCUGUUUUUAUAUCACUAUUGUUAAUCUAGCUUUUAACAGGAUUUCAAAUAUUUAAAAAAAAUUGAAAGCAAGCUCGAAUCGAUGGCAUCCAUUGACGAAAUCACAGAGGAAUUCAAGAAAGUCAAGAUCACUGAAAAAGUGGUGCAUAAGAAGAAUAGGAUUCAGGUUUCUAAUAAGAAGAAACCAAUAUUCUUCUACAUUAAUCUAGUCAAGGUACUUUUCAGAUCAUUAUGUUUUUCGUCGAUUUAUUUUUGUCUAUUUCUAACUGGUGAUCUUGCAUUUUCAGAAGUAUCUUCAGCACUAUGGAGAAAUUGAGUUAUCUGUAUUUGGAAUGGGAAGGAUUAUGAAUUUUGAAUCAUGAUUGAUUAUACUUUCUUUGAAAAUAUUAAUCGUUUCUUUUUUGCUUUUAUAACGACUGGAUCUGUGAUUAACAUAUCUGAGAUUCUGAAGAAUAGCAAUUUUUUUGUGUUGAAAGGUAAUAACAAGAUAGAUUCAGAACUAGAAUUCUUCAAAAUUAUAAAAAUUAAAUAUUAAUUUCUUUAUUUAAUUCUUUUUGAUAUGAUAUCAAAACAUUAUCUGUGGAAGUUUACGACGAAAGAACAAGUCGCAUCGUUAGUAAAGCAAAGAUAAAACAAGACCUGUUUAUUGUUAAAUUGAUCGAUUUCAAUUUAAUAAUUUUAAUAAUUUUUUCCUUCUUUCUUUUUCAGUUGGAAAUUUCAAUGGAGAAGUCCAAGGCGAUUGUUGAGGUUAUUGCUACGGAAAAUCUUAAGAAGGUUAAUGGUGGGAUUAAUCUUGAUACUAAUGGCAAAAGCUGAGCGAGAUUGUUUUCGGAUUUAAUAAUUUUAGUUUUUUCUCCUUUUCUGAAUUUCGAGAAUAGCUAAAUUAGAUUGAAGGCAAAACUUUGAAAUUUGUUAUGUUGUUUUAAUUUUCUCUUGGAAAAUUUGUUUUCAAUAUUAAACUAAAUCAAUUUCGUAAUUCUUUUAAAUAAUUUUUUUUUUAUGAUAUAGAGAGGGAUGACAUAAUUUAAUUUCAUUGUAUAUUGACUGUUCUAAUAAACACACUACAAGAAAAAAAACAUUUUGGCGCCCAACAUUUAAUAAGUUUGUUUGGUCGCUCCGUUGGUUGACAAAAACCUAGUAUCUAAUAAUGAAUGACCUUAAAAUAAUGUUAUAAUAGUCUUUUGAACUCUAAUUUCUAAUCUAAUUCUUUCAUUAUUAAGUUCUAUCGUUAUUUUGUUGUAGAGAGAAAGCACAAACAUUUAUUGGAGGUUUUCAGGGCAAUUAAGUUCAUAGUUGGAUGCCAAAUCCUUUUUGGAGUGAGUGUGUUUUGACAUCAACAUUCAUUAUUAACAGAUUACCCACUGUUGUUUAAAACCAUAAAUCCCCUUAUGAAACAUUACAUAAUAAGAUCUCUUAUUACACUACAAAAAAAAGACCUUGUAUGGCGGUCUUUAGAUGACGGAAAUCCGCCAUCAAUAAUCCAGUUGUUUAGAUGGCGGAUGUCUGUCAUCUAUUCUUUUAGUCCACCGAGGAAAGGUUUGGACUCGACGGCGGUUCGAUUUUAUUUUCAAUGGUGGUUUUUAGAUGGCGGAAAUCCGCCAUCUAAACUAUCCCGUCCAAAAUUUUGAAUCUCCCCCAAUAUUCAACCCGUUUACCCGAUUAAAUUGACUUAAUAUGGCGGAUGUCCGCCAUGUUAAGUAUUCAGGGAGUCAGGCGGAAAAAGCCCACCCAAUCAAAUUUCGAUUGGGCGGACUUUCACUUAAGUCCCAUCGGAACUUAAGUGUACUUACAUUGCGGAUUUCCGCCAUGUAAAUUUUGGAGUUUAUUAAAAACCCCAAAUCCAGACAGAACACGCACCUGACUGCCGAAUCGUUGCUGCCACCGAAUCCUUGCCUCUGUCGCCGUCGUUCGCUCCUGCCGGUUGCUGCCGCUCGCUCCGCCGGUCAUCGCACCGUCGUUCCUUCCUCAGUCUGCCAGUGAUCGCUCUCCCGUUCCGGUGAUUGCUCCCCCCAUCGUUCCGGUAUGAUUUCUUCAUCUUAUGGUUUUCUAUUUCUUCAUCUUAUGGUUUUCUAUUACUUAUUUUUCAUCUUAAUUUUCAUCUAUUUGUUUAUAUAUUAAUCUAUUAUUUUGUUUAUCCAUAUUGUUUAGAUAUUUUGAUUAUUUGAUGGGUUUAUGUUUAUUUACAUAUCCGUUUUUGAUUGUUUAGAUAUUUUGAUUGUUUCAAUGUAUUUGUGUUUUUAAUCUUACUCACUGUUUCAAUGUGUUUUGAUUGUGUUUUAAUCUUACUCAAUGUAUUUUGAUUGUGUUUUGUAAUAUGUUUCACUAAUUUACUUAAUCUCUUUUGAAGAUUGAAUUUUUUAAGUUUUUAAUUUACUGUAAUCUAUUUUCAUGUUUUAAUGUUUUUGAUAUUUAUAUUUCAUGUAUUUCAUGUCUAUGGAUGUUUGUAUCUAUUUCAUCUAUAUGGAUGUCAUUUUUGGGAUGUUAUGUUAUGUAUAUAGUUGUUAUGUUAAUUAAGUACUGCUAUGUUAAAUGAUAUGUUUAAGUAUUGUUUUAUAGGUUUAAGUACUGUUAUUAUUAUUUUUGGAUUGAUUAAUAUGAAUGUUUAAAUUGUUAACAUGUGUUGAAUGUUAAGUACUAUUAUAUGAAGUUUUAUGAUAUGUUUUAAAAGUAAAGGUAUUGUUGGUCGCAAAGAUAUUGAUGGUCGUAAAGAUAUCAAUUAAUUUAAUUAAUAAUUUAAAUACUGUUUGAAAUAAUUUAAAUAAUUAAUUAUUUAGUUAUAUCAUAAUUUAAAUACCAUGUUUUGAAAUAAAUAAAAAAAUAUUUAAUAUUGUUCGAAAUUAAUAUUUUUUAAUAAAUUUAAAAAAUAAUUUAUGAAAUAUUUAAUUUACUGUUUAUAAAUGUUUUAAUUGAUUAUUUUUAAAAAAUUUAUAAAUUGAUUUAAUUAAAUAAAUAAUUUAUAUAAUGUUUUAAUUAACUAAUUAAAUUAUUGUGUUGUUGACUUGUUGUAGGUUUUGAAAAAUCAAGAAUUCAAAAAAUUGAGAUUGAAUUAAGCUCUAUUGCGGUAUGAAAUUAUAAAUGUUUAUUUAAUCAUUUCAUUUUAAAAAUAUUUAAUUAAUUUGCAUGUAAUUAUAAAUUUGUUAAUUAGUAAUUAUUAAAUUGAAUGAUUUUAAAUUCUAUUAAUAAUGAUUAAUUUGUAUGAAAUUAUUAAUUUGUUAAUUAAUAAUUAUUAAAUUGAAUCAUUUUAAAUUGUAUCAAUAAUGAUUAAUUAGCAUGAAAUUAUUAAUUAAUUAAUAAUAAUUAAAUUGAAUGAUUUUAAAUUGAAUUAAUAAUGAUUAAUUAAUUUGCAUGAAAUUAUAGAAAUGUUAAUGAAUAAUUAUUAAAUAUGCCAUGAAAUUAAAUUUUUUAAUUAAUAAAAAUAUUAUAUGUUUAAAAAUGAAUGAUUAUUUAAUUAUUUGAUAAUUAAUAAUUAAUUAAUCUUUUAGAUUUUAAGAAAUGCCACGUAGAGUGAAGCAAUUACCUCGUAAGAGGGCUCUACCUCCCAAUCGCCAAGAUGCUUUCCGGUUUUAUCUCCUGGUUCAUCCUGCACCAGCACCUGUACGUCCAGCACCGGCCCCUCCAGUUCCGCAACCAGCAACUCCGAAGAAAGUCAUUUACGAAACGGAUUCGGAAAAGUCAAUUAGACCUUUAAUUAGCUAGAUUUUCCAAAAAAUAUUGAACUUAAUAUUAAUUGAACNNNNNNNNNNNNNNNNNNNNNNNNNNNNNNNNNNNNNNNNNNNNNNNNNNNNNNNNNNNNNNNNNNNNNNNNNNNNNNNNNNNNNNNNNNNNNNNNNNNNNNNNNNNNNNNNNNNNNNNNNNNNNNNNNNNNNNNNNNNNNNNNNNNNNNNNNNNNNNNNNNNNNNNNNNNNNNNNNNNNNNNNNNNNNNNNNNNNNNNNNNNNNNNNNNNNNNNNNNNNNNNNNNNNNNNNNNNNNNNNNNNNNNNNNNNNNNNNNNNNNNNNNNNNNNNNNNNNNNNNNNNNNNNNNNNNNNNNNNNNNNNNNNNNNNNNNNNNNNNNNNNNNNNNNNNNNNNNNNNNNNNNNNNNNNNNNNNNNNNNNNNNNNNNNNNNNNNNNNNNNNNNNNNNNNNNNNNNNNNNNNNNNNNNNNNNNNNNNNNNNNNNNNNNNNNNNNNNNNNNNNNNNNNNNNNNNNNNNNNNNNNNNNNNNNNNNNNNNNNNNNNNNNNNNNNNNNNNNNNNNNNNNNNNNNNNNNNNNNNNNNNNNNNNNNNNNNNNNNNNNNNNNNNNNNNNNNNNNNNNNNNNNNNNNNNNNNNNNNNNNNNNNNNUUGUUGCACAGAAUUUACCAGACUAUCUUUUAUCUUGGAAUUGGAUCAGUUGAAAUGCGAAAAUCAUUGGAGUGAUAAAAGAUUUCAGAAAUUAUUAUCCAUCAUGCGUCGUGCUAUUCCAAAUGGGGAGUCGACCAUUCCGAAAACCAUGUACCAUGCGAAAUCGGUGGUUCGUGACCUGGGCCUCAAUUAUACGAAAAUCGAUGCAUGUCGCAACGAUUGUAUUUUAUAUCGAAAUGAGUAUGCAGACGUAGAAACUUGCUCGAUUUGUGGAACGUGUAGGUGGGUCGUCGAAGGCGUUUAGAAAAACAAACGUGUUCCAGUUAAAUGUCUUCGUCACUUUCCGUUGAUUCCACUUUUGAAGAGAUUGUAUCUGUGUUCUAAAAUUUCUGAAGACAUGAUAUGGCACCAUUCCAAACGUAAGGACGACGGAUUUCUUCGGCAUCCAGCUGAUUCUUUACAAUGGAAGAAAUUUGACGAGGUUCAUCCCAAAUUUGCAUCCGAACCUCGUAAUGUGAGACUUGGUUUAGGAACUGAUGGAUUCAACUCGUUCAGUCAGCAAUCUCUAUCUCAUAGUACUUGGCCAGUGAUAGUUAUACCGUACAACCUUCCACACCUUGGAUGUGUAUGAAGCAACCGAAUUUCAUGUUGUCUCUACUAAUUUUCGGUCCGUCAGCUCCAGAGAACGAUAUAGAUGUCUAUCUUCAACCGCUUAUUGAUGAACUGAAGAUUUUAUGGGCAGAUGGUGUGACAGCUUUUGAUGUACGUAAGCAGAAAUCUUUUAAGAUGUUUGCAUCACUUCUGUGGACGAUACCUGAUUAUCCAGAAUACGGUAAUAUAUCAGGGUGGAGCACUAAAGGAAAGUUAGCCUGUGCAGUAUGUAAGAAUGACACUGAAAGUAUUCGUUUAGAGCAUGGAAAGAAAGAGAGUUUUAUGGGACAUCGUCGAUUUCUAGAUAUGAAACAUUAUUAUAGGAGCGAUAUGAAAAGUUUCAAUAAUCAGAUCGAAACUAGAGUCGCCCCUAAACGUCUGACGGGUUCUGAAAUAUAUAGUCAAGUUUAUCCAUUUCGAGAUUCAGUAACUUUUGGUAAAACAUCGAAUGUACCAAAAGAUUGUAGACCGUCGACGAAAAGAACGAAGAAAAUACCAUUACCCAAAGGAUGGAAAAAAAUGAGUAUUUUUUCAAAUUACCGUAUUGGAAGACGUUGCUUCUACGAUAUUGAUGUUAUGCACACUGAAAAUAAUGUAUGUGACAAUAUUUUAAACACUAUUUUGGAAAUGGAUGGUAAAACGAAAGAUAAUUUGAACGCGAGGUUCGAUUUACAAUCGAUGGGAAUCCGAAAAGAACUUCAUCCUAUUCGACGAGGAGAAGAAUGGGACAUUCCGAGUGCGUGUUUCAACUUAACGAAGAAAGAAAAGAUAUUAUUUCUGUCAGUGUUUAAAUCCCUUCGACUUCCCGAUGGAUAUUGUUCUAACAUUUCUAAAACGUGAAAAUGAAAGAAAGAAAAUUUAUCGGAUUGAAAAGUCACGAUUGUCACGUUAUAAUGCAACAGUUACUUCCUAUUGCAUUACGAAAAUCGACAAAACAUGCAGUGACUUCGGUUCUCGUUGAACUUUGCAUAUAUUUCCACGAUAUUUGUUCGAAGGUGAUCGAAAUCAAACUUAUGAAACGAUGGGAGAAAAGAAUUAUAUAUACAUUAUGCAAUUUUGAGAAAAUCUUUCCUCCCGGUUUUUUUACUGUAAUGGUUCAUCUGACGGUCCAUCUAGCAACCGAAGUGAAAAUAGCUGGACCGGUACAAUAUCGAUGGAUGUAUCCGAUAGAGAGGUAUAUAUAUUUAUACAAUUAUAAAUAAAUUUAUAAUUAAUAUGUCUUGAUCAUACAAUAUAUAUUCUCAUUUUAGGUGUCUUUUGACUUUAAAAAAUCAUGUGACCGUAUGUAGUCAACCGGAAGGCUGAAGAAUCAAUGACGUUUUGUUCUCGGUUUUUACAAAAUGUGGAGACAAAAUCAAAUCAGCCAGAUAGGUAUAUCGAUGGGUUUUUAAAUGCAUCGACUGAUAUAACGUUGACUACUUUACAACAGAAACAGUUUCAUCAAUGUAUAUUGUUUGACCUUGAAAGUGUCAAACCAUAUCGAAAUAAACUCUUGAAGCAAUUGAAAGUUAUGUUUCCAAAACACACGCAGCUUCGUCUGGAAAAUUUACACUUCAAACAAUUUGUCGAAUGGUUUAAGAAACACAUGUCUGAAGCUCAACAAUCCGACACAGAUUUAAAUUCUAUUUCCCACGGACCAAGUUGUUUUGUUUCAAUUUAUAAUGGUUACAUUAUGAAUGGAUUAAAAUUUCAGACAUCAGAAUUGACAAAUGGUAGAUCGACGUAAAAUAACGAUAUUUUUCUAUCGGCUACAACAUCAACGUAUGCUAAAUCUCCAAAUGAUGCUCCGUUGGUAGCAGAAAUUGAAUAUCAUGAAUUAUUAGAAAAUGUUUUCGAAAUUUGCUACGGUCACACGACUAAAUGUUGUCUGUUUGAAUGUAAGUGGUACGAUCCUGGAAAAGCAGGUACAAAAGUCAAUGAUUUUGGUGUCGUUUCAGUGAACACGACACGGGGAAAAUUUGGAAAGAAACCUUUCAUUUUGGCAAAUCAGGCUCAACAAUGUUUCUACAUUCAACAUCCGGUAGAAUCUGAAUGGAGUUCAGUCCUUCAAAUACUAAAUAGAGAUAUUUUCGAUGUCGAUAAUGAUGAUUGUUGUAAUUAAAUUAUAAAGUAUUACAUUACAAUAUAAUUUAAUAUUUUGAAUGUAAUAUCAUGUUGAUUAUAAAUAUUUCUUUUUUUCAGUAAAAAAUGAGUCAACUACUUGCAAUCGUCGAACGAUAUGAACGACUCGAGCUACUAAACCAGAUUCAACGUAGUUUUUACAAAAACAUAGAUUAUUAUUGUCGUGUUUUUGCUUGUUUCCGUUGCGGAGUCAACGGUCAUCAUUUUCAAAACUGUCCAAAAAUAUGGUCGAGAAAUCCUCAAACAAUGGAAACCGGUCAGAUUUUAGUGUUAGGAUACGAAACUAGAGUGUUGAAUGAUUGUGAAGGCACACAUUCAUUCAAAAUCAAAUACAACUAUUCUCACGACGACUUCGAAGAUUUGUUGUGUCUAAUAAUAAAGAAUGUAAAUUACAAUAGGAAAAAUGUUUGGUUGUUGUGUUAAACUAAGACCCUAUAUACGGGUGUCUGGUUAUGUAUUUAAAUUAACUAAUUUUAUAUUAAAAUUUAAAUAUUUCAAAUUAUAUUUACUUUUUUCGUUCUGAUCGGUGUGAUAACACCUUUCAUGGCAUUGGCGAUGGUGACAUCCCGUCGCUCUUUUGAAGAGUCAAGCUCAAGGGGUCAGUUCAUUAUUCAUAUUUUAAAUAUUAUCAUGAUUUUUAUUAAAUAUUAAUUCUUAAAUAUGUAAAUUAAUUAGAUGCGAGGCCAUUCACAUCGAAUGUGCCUCCAAAGAAGAAGGGUCGUGGUCGCACAAAAGACCACCCUCAUAAUCAUCCAGAAAAAGAUACGAAAUGGAAGGUGAUGUUUGACAACAUGAACCAAGCGACGGAUGAAAUGGCGAAGAAAUUAACCACAAGAAUGGCUCUUUUAGCAAAAGAUCAUACUCUCUUCCCGUACGACAUUGAGUGGCGUCAUCAACCACAACAAAAUUUUCAGGACGCGUUAAAAAUAUUAACUGUAAGUAUAUAUAUUUUUUAUAAUAUUUAUUAAUUUUCAAAAACUUAUAAGUUUUGAAUAUGUAGGCUGAAUAUGAUUUAAGUGGAAGCAAAGCUGCACAAACUUAUAUCAAUGGUAGGUUGAACAAACUCUGGAGAAGCAACCAUAAUUCUUUGGUUAAAACUUAUGGAUCUGAUCCUGAUAUGAGAGAAGAAGAUAUUUUAGCGACUCUUCCACCGUAUGUCAGCAAACCUCAAUUUCUGAAUAAAUUGAGACAACAUCGAUCGGAAAAAGGAAAGGUACGUAUAUGUAUAUGUAUAUAUAUAUAUAUAUAUAUAUAUAUUAAUAAAUUUAGAAACCUAUUAUUUUUUAUAAUUUCAGCAAAUUUUCGAGAUAAAUACCGCGAACCGAGCGAAUCAAAUGACACAUCAAGCUGGUUCAAAAGGAUUAGCGCAACGACAUCAUAAAUUGGUAAUUUAUUUAUAAUUUAUAUCUAAUUUUUUUAUAUAUUAAUGAAUUAUGUGAAUAUAGAUGCAACAAGGAUGAAGUGAAGUCGAAACUUGGUCAGAGAUUUUACAAAUGACAUAUAAAGGAAGCGAUAAAGUUGAAAGUCUUUUUUUUAAUUAUUUAUAUUUUAUAAUUUUUAUUAUCAUUGUUUGAUUUUGUUAUUCUUUCAGCUUGAAGCCACGGAAUUUAUCAAAAGUCAAGAGGCAAAAUCGUGGGCUGAAUCUGAAACAAUGACUCCAUUUGUAAGUUCCAUAGAUUAUUUUAAACAUAUUUCGCAUUUCUUAUUUAUUUACAUUUUAUAAUGCAGCAAUUUAUCGAAGCGACGGUCAACAAGACUUUCGGAAAAAAUAAAAAAAUAGAAUCAUAGGAAUUGGAGAAACUGCCAGUAUGGUGAGCACAACGAACGAAAGAUGGGCUUCUCCAAAUUGGAAAGGAAAAGAGACGAUCUCCGAAAACACGACUAUUGAUGCAACACCAGACGAAAAACAACAAUUGAGUGGAAGCAAUGCAAAGUUAAUUGAAUACAUUAAAAGAGAAUGAAACAUGGUCUCUCACUCAGUUACCACAUGAUUGAAAAACAAUUGGUUCUAGAUUAAUUUAAAAGUAAAAGUCAACCUAAUAGAACAAUUGAAAGAUAGUGGCCAAGGGUAUAGUCAAAUAGAGGGGUUUGAUUAUCAUGAGACUUUUGCCCCAGUAGAAAAAUUAACCACCAUGAAAACUCUCUUCGCAAUAGCAUCUGUAAAAAAUUGAAAACUGCAUCAAUUAGAUGUCAAUAAUGCUUACCUAAAUGGAAUUUUGAAUGAAGAAAUUUAUAUGAAAUCUGAUGAAGCACGGAAUCUGCUACCAGUAGGCUCGCGGGGUCGCGAGGAGGGCCGGAGGCUUUGAAGUCCACGACGAGCGCUCUACGUCAAUGUACCUGCAGAAGUGGAGGGGAAUCGGCGACUCUCUUGGGAGUAGGCGAUUCGGGCUCCUUGGAUUGCUCUGGUGUGGUGUGUGUCAAGUGGGAAUGACCUGGGAGUAGAGGACCCCCAAGGACCCCUUUUAUAGGGUCCUGGGGGACGUUUACCCAUUCAUUAGCGUGGGGCCCACCCCACUAUGGUGCCCUAUUGAAGGGUACCAUAAUGACGUGGGCCCUCCCAAGUAACGGUUGGGAAUCGGCGACUCAGGUAUGGGAGUCGUCGAUUCAGAGGUGGAGCCGCCGACUCCCCAUAAGCCAGGUUGGUAGUCUACCAGAACUAACCACGAGGCCUAGAGUCGGCGAUUGACCCCUGGAGUCGGCGACUUGGUAGUCCCAGUCGGCGAUUCCCAGGUGUUUCCUUGAGUACUUGACGUAGACACUUCCUCUGCAUUUGUUGAACUCUCCGGGGGUCCGGCAUAAAGCGACGGAACCCUAGUCCUUGUUGAAGGGCGUUGUUGGGAGUGACUGACGUAAUCAGGCAUGUCUCAUCAGUACUCCCCCCUGAAGAGAGCAUGAAAAAACACGCGUGUACCUCCAGUAUCCCCCCCAAGCAAGGUCAUCCGCAUCAAGGCCAAAGCGACGAGAUGGGACUGAGUCAUUGCGCUCACAGCGACAUAAAUGACUCCGCGUAGUCCAUGCACUAUCAAAUGGACUGAUCCACAAUCAGAAUCUAGUUCCAGGCCAACAGAAAUACAUGUUUAUAGUCCUCCUCUGAUCAGGAGAGACUUUUACUGUGGAUUUUGGCCGAAGCGACGGAAUGCGUGGAUUCAGUAUUAGAAUCUGAUUCUGGCCGAAGCAACAGAAUGCGUGGAUUCGCUAUUAGAAUCGGGUUCUCGCCGAAGCGACAGAAUGUGUGGAUUCUGGCCGAAGCGACAGAAUGCGUGGAUUUUGGCCGAAGCGACAGAAUCUAGUUCACUAUCGGAACUGAUGUUUACAGUCUACCCUGAUCAAGAGCGACUUUACGUCCGCAUGACGGUUACCCCAUAGGCCAAAGCGCAAGAUGGGUCGAGAUCAUUAAGGCCAAAACGACAAAAUGAUCUCCAAGUGUUGAAGAAUUAUUGAAGCUGAUGAAGCACGGAAUCUGCUACCAGUAGGCUCGCGGGGUUGCGAGGAGGGCCGGAGGCUUUGGAGUCCACGACGCGCGCUCUACGUCAAUAUACCUGCAGAAGAGGAGGGGAAUCGGCGACUCCCUUGGGAGUAGGCGAUUCGGGCUCCUUGGAUUGCUCUGGUUGGAGUGUGUGUCAAGAGAGUGAGUUGAGGGUAGAGGUCCCCCAAGGACCCCUUUUAUAGGGUCUGGGGGGACGUUUCCCCAUUCAUUCGAGUGGGGCCCGCGCCGUUAAGGUACCCCUAAUAAGGAAUGCCUUAAUGGCGAAGGUCCGCUCAAGUAACGGCUGGGAGUCGGCGAUUCAGGUAUGGGAAUCGCCGAUCCAGAGGUUCAAUCGCCGACUCCCGUAUGAGCCUAGUGGUAGCCUACCAGAGCUGCCCACGAGGCGUAGAGUUGGCGAUUCCCCUCCGGAGUCGGCGACUUGGUAGUCCCAAUCGGCGACUCCCAAGUGUUAGCUUGAGCUCUUGACGUAGACACGUGCUCCGCACCGUGGAAGCCUUUCCGGGGGUCCGGCAUAUAGUGACGGAACCCUAUUCCUUGUCGAAGGGCGUUGCUGGGAGUGACUGACGUGUUCAGGCAUGUCUCACCAGUACUCCCCCCUGAAGAGAGCAUGGCAAAACACCCGUGUAGCCUCAGAAGCCAAAGCGACAACAUAAUUCUUGGUCCAUUAAGUCCAAAGCGACAAAAUGAAACUGGAUCUAUUAAGGCCAAAGAGACAAAAAUAGAUCUGAUUCUGGCCGAAGCGACAGAAUCAUGCCUGCAAAACAAAAAACAACCUACAAAACAACUAUUUCAGUCUAAAGGAUAUAUUUAUUGAUUUACUGACCUUGCCGUGUGGAGCUGCCUCUCAUGCUGCUCCUUCUUAUGCUCAAUAAAUCCUUGAUUGAUCUGGGCGAAGCGACAGAUCUAUCAUGCUAAAAAAUAUGACAGCUUCUGGCCGAAGCGACAGAAGUGUCAGGAAGAGCUUGUGAUACUCCCUCCUUGAGAUCAUUAAGGCUGAAGCGUCAAAAUGACCUCUGGUCUAUCAAGGCCGAAGCGACGAGAUAGACCGACUAACUGUUAGAGUCUGACUCACUAUCAGAGUCUAGUUCACUAUUAGAACCUGGUUCACUAUUAGAACCUGGUUCACUAUUAGAACCUUUCCUGCAAAAAAGAAAACAACCUGCAAAACUACUAGAUCAGUCCAAAAACGCAUAUUUAACUUAUUGAACUUACCGUGUGAUUUUACCUUCCUUGAUACCUCUUCUUUGCUCAAUAAAUCCUUAGUAAAUCUGGCCGAAGCGACAGAUUUUACCGUGCUCAAUUUUUGACGACUUCUGGCCGGAGCGACAGAAGUGUCGGGAGAGUUUGUGAUACUCCCCCCGAAAUUUGACGACUUUUGGCCGAAGCGACAGAAGUGUCGGGAGAGUUUGUGAUGCUCUCCCUCAAAAUUUGACAACUUCUGGCCGAAGCGACAAAAGUGUUAGAAGAGUUUGUGAUACUCCCUGAUGGGGGUGAAACCCGACCAGUACUCCAAGACGCGCAAGCAAGAGCCAAGCGGGGAACUCCGUGGGAAAUCGGACCGGAACUCAAGUGCGUAGAGCUCUGCUUCGCUAGGACUCCUUCCACUCCAAAUGACCUGCCUUUAAUGAAUGGGAGAUGCCUCCUAUUUAUAGGGAAUCUUAUGGGGGUAAUCUGGUUAUUUGGGCAGUAACCGCCUAACUGCCUAACUGAUCAGAUCGAGGCCCAAGGUCGACUUUCCAGAGAUCGACUUUCUGGGGAUCGACUUUCCUGAUGAUCGACUUUCUGGGGAUCGACUUUCCUGAUGAUCGACUUUAUUCAGAAGUCGAUCCCAGGGAAGUCGAUCUCAGGAAAGUCGAUCUUCCUAGGAUUCGACAUGGGACCUCCCCAACCCUAGAAUAGGUACCUCAACUCAUCUUAGGCUAUUCGGACUUCUAGUUGCUAGUAAAUUGUGACCGAGUUCGGGAUACUGUAUCACCAGUACUCCCCCCUCCUCUCCAUUUUAGAUAUCUUGGGAUACGUCUUUUAGUACUUAUGGUUUGUGUGUUGGACCUUGUACUAUCAGUAUUCCCCCCUCUUUGCGUGCUGGGGUGUGGGUUUUUGGUGAUGUCCCAGGAUGCGAGAUCCUCUCUCACCAGUUCUCCCCCUUCUACGCCUGUGAGGUUAUACCUAUGCUUCCACGGAGGUUGUCACAUGCUUUUGCUAACUAUUGUCCGGUUUGUCCUAGCCGAAGCAUACUCCUUGCGCAAUGCCUAGCCCGAUUUCCGAACGGAACCCUGCUUGCCCACCUUGACGCCUUGCCUGAGCUAUCUCCGAGCAAUGUUCGAGUCCCUUUCCCUGUGGCUGGGAUUGAAAGUUGUCUCUUCUACCUAUUUUGUAUAGGUUGAGUGUACUUCCUCGUCUACCUAUGUUCUUUCAUAGGUGAGGUUUAUUUUUGUAUACUUGCCCCCUCCUUUUGCUUGCUGCUUCUGCGGCUGAGGUUGAGCGUGGUCCCUCGUCUACCUAUGUUCUUCCAUAGGUGAGCUCUAUUUUUUGAAUACUUGCCCCCUCCUUUUGCUUGCUGCUUCCGCGGCUGAGGUUGAGCGUGGUCCCUCGUCUACCGAUGUUCUUUCAUAGGCGAGGUCUAUUUUUGAGUACGUUCCUCGUCUACCUACGUUCAUCCAUAGGUGAGGUUUACUCUUGAGUACGUCUCUCGUCUACCUACGUUCUUCCGUAGGUGAGGUUCACUCUUGAACACUUACCCCUCUGUCUACAUUUUUUGUAGAAGGGGCUUGUGUUUAGCCGAUGUGUCCCCCGUCUACCUACGUUCUUCCGUAGGUGAGGUUCACUUUUGAGUACACCCCUCGUCUACCUACGUUCUUCCGUUGGUGCGGUUCACUCUUGAGUACGUCACUCAUCUACCUACGUUCUUCCGUAGGUGAGGUUCACUCUUGUACACUUACCCCUCUGUCUACGUUUUUUGUAGAACGGGUGUGUGUUUUGCCGAUGUGUCCCCCGUCUACCUACGUUCUUCCGUAGUUGAGGUUCACUUUUUUUUUUUGGAUGGGAUACGCAUCCUGACUCUUCUACCACCAAGACUUUCUCCGCCCACGUUCUUCCGUAGGUAGAGUUAAUUUGGCGUCCUACUUUGUUACUGCGUCCAGUAAUUGUAGGAGUUCAAAUAUCUUAGAGUGGCUCAGUUUAUUUUGUUGCCGUAUUGCCAUCGAGUUGUUUUUUCUGUGUGAAUUUCCACGACUCCUUAGGAGUAUUUCGCUUACACCCCCCUGCCUUGGUGAUUUUUUAAGGUCUAGGGAAUGUUUUUCCUACACCCCUCCUGCCUUGGCGUACUUCCGCAAUUCCAACUUGUCAGGAUUCUUUUUUCGACACCCCCCUGCGUAGCCCCACUCCCCGUCCUGUUUUGACCUCGGACGAGGGAGCUUUUGUAAAAAGGCUAGCCUUCCUUCACCCCAUCGCCGUGCCCGUCGUCACGCGAUAGAAGAUACUUUUAACCGACAAGGUUCUCCUUUGUUUUUUGAUUACCUACUUCUUGUGCAUGUUUAUCAACUCUGUUUUUAUUUCUCACAGAUUUUUAUUUGCACAAUCCUGGAGGUAUCCCUGAACGCGUGGGACAAAACGAAACUGGCACGAAGGUGUAUGUACCUGCCACCAAGCAUUCUGACGCCUGACACCUGAGGCGUCGUGCCCACCAGAAUUCUUACUGGGCUGAUUCCCCUCCUCCUGCCGGUGAGGAUCAAGUUAAUGAAGAGGAGGCACCCGUGAAGACUCCAUCUGCGCAGUCUGCUGCUGCUAAGCUUGCUUCCUUCUUCUGUUCGCCGGAAGAAGAGCAGGAAAAAGAUACUGGGAAGGGAGCCCAGUCGGAGGGGAGAAAGAGCCGAUCUGAGAAGAGGAAGACCCCUCCUCCAAGAACUGACCCCUCUCCUCCGAAGAAAGCGAGGAGACACUCCCCCCGGCGGAGGUAUCAUGACGGAGGUAUCAUGUUGGGGAGUCCUCCCGGGGUCGUUACACGUAUGCCUCUACCCGGGAGACUCAGCUGCCGGGGUAUCAAGGUUCCCAUCUUCGGAAUUAUGGGAACAAAUUUCCGAUAGUCGCUGACACGGAUGCCGCCCGAACUACGUUGUGGACCAUAUCUGGGUAUCCGAUGGACCGACUUGUUGAAGAAGUCAGGCAGAAUAUAAAUAAUGUAAGUGCUCUUGUUUUUACCUUUAUGAUGAGCUUGUUCUUACUUGUUUUUCCUUUUACAGCUCGCCUAUCUGUUUCAAGACUGUCUCUCCUCCUUGUCUCGUCUUCGUGAUUAUCAAUCCCUGGAAGACGAGUUGAAGAAAGUCAAGCGCAGGUGUAAAGAUUUAGAGGACGAAGUUCAGCAGAAAAUUUCAGAUGCCUCUACUCUUUCUGCCACUAACAAGAAGUUGGUUGAGGAUUGGUCCACUCAACGCAGACUUGUGGAUGAUGAGGGACGAGAACUCUCCAAAGUUCGUGGGGGGAGUUGGGGGCUAUCCAGAUUGAGCGAGAUGCCGAGCGGGCCAAGGUUGUGAUAAAGAAUGCUAUAAUCCAAGGGGUCACUCAGCAAUCUGAAGCAACUGAACAGACUCUUCGUUCUAUCAUGGAGCAAAAUGCCAUUUUUACUGAACGACUGAACAAAGGGAAAAGGAAAAACGUGAGACUUCCUAGUUGCUGAGUGACCGUGAUGUUGAUAUUAAGCAAUUGGUAGAUACCUUGGCCGGACAGACUGAGGAAAACCAGAAGAUGAUAGAUCAUAUGGGCCAGAUCCGAACUGAUUUUCUCGCUAACGUGCGAGAUUAUAAUGACUUGGUGGAUCUGGGUCCUCACGUAUUUCCUGGUUUUGAGGCCGAGGAUGUCCAUCGUUGGGCUCGCAAGUACCCGAAAGAAGCUACAGAGAUCCGAGAUCGGGCGCUUGCUGAGGAUGAUGAAGGGGAAGAAGGGGAGGCUUCGGGUGAAGACCAAGAUGACACUGGUGCAACAGAUAAAGGCUCAUUCUUUCCUACCAGUGAUAAACCUUCUUCUCCUCCCCCUACUUUGUAAUCUGUCCUUACUUUAUGUUCCUUCUGUACUUUUAUUUGAAAAUCAAUAUAUAUGAAACAUUUUUGUUAUAACUAUUGAUUGUGAUAACCAAACGACGUAUUAGUUAGGUAACUCAAACAGUUACAAUGAAUGUAUACAUACAACUCUACUUAAUUGUUAAAAGUAUAAUUGUAAGUUAUCUGCGUGCCAAGUGUUGGGAAUAUAUGUCCCAUCUUCCCGUUUUAACUUGUACGUGCCUGGUCGGAGUUCCUCCUCCACCACAUAUGGCCCUUCCCAAUUUGCGCCUAGUUUUCCCUUAGAGCAGUCCUUUCUACCGACGCUUGCUCUUCUCAAUACUAGGCUUCCUUUCCUUAUCGCUUUGUCCUUGACAUUUUUGUCGUGAUAUCUAGCGAUACUUUGUUUGUAAGCUGUAUUCUUUGCCUGUGCAUUAUCCCUUAGCUCAUCCACUAAGUCCGAGUUGUCGCACAUGAUCUCAUGUUUUCUUCCAUGUCAUAGGACAAGACUCUGACAGCUGGUAUGCUUAGCUCUGUCGGGAUUAGUGCUUCCAUUCCGUAUGCUAGUGAGAACGGGGUUUCCCCGGUGGGUGUUUUUUUAGUAGUUAUAUACGCCCACAGGAUCUCUGGUAGUAGAUUUGCCCACGCACCUUUGGCCUGUUCGAAUUUUUUCUUCAGUCCCUGAAUAAUGGCUCUGUUUGUGACUUCUACUUGCCCAUUACCCUGUGGCCUGUAUACUGAUGAAAAGUGGAUUUUAGUGCCCAUGUUCUCGCAUAACCUCGUAAACUCCCCACCGGUAAACUGUGUCCAAUUAUCUGUCACUAUGUGCAUUGGAACACAGAAUCUGCACAUUGUGCACUUGAAGACAAACUUCGUUGCUGCUCCUUGUGUUAUUUUGGGUACAGCCAGUGCCUCGACCCAUUUUGUGAAGUAAUCGACAGCCACAAAUACAAAUUUAGCCUGGCCUGUUGAUACUGGAAAUGGUCCCACAAUAUCUAGUCCCCACAUUGCGAAUGGGAUGGGGCUUUCUACCCCUGUUAGUUGAGUUGCGGGAUUUCUCUGUAUGUUUUUGUGUAUCUGGCGGGCCUUGCAUUUUCUUGCAAAUAGGACUGUAUCUUUCUUUAGUGUGGGCCAGAAGUAUCCCUACCUUAUUAUUCGUUGGGCUAGAGACCUUCCCCCUUGAUGUAUUCCGCAUACCCCCUGAUGUAUCUCCUCUACAAUGAAUUGCCCUUCAUCUGUUGAGACACAUUUCAUUAGAGGUCCAUCGUAGGAUUUCUUAUACAGAAUGUCACCGAUUAGGCAGAAUUUUGAAAUGCGUGUUUGUAAUUUACGCCUUUCAUUCUUGUUUUCUGGGAGUUUCUGCCCUUCAAAGUAUUCUAUUAAGGGUUUCCUCCAAUCUUCUGCCUGUAUUGUGACCAAAUUACAUAAAGAUGUAGAUGCUGAGUCAACUAGUAUCUCUCUCUGCCCCCCCCCUCGAAAGCAGAUGCUAGCUUUGCCAGGGCAUCAGCUGAGUUGUUUUGACUCCUUGGAAUCUGUUCUACCUCCACCUUGGUAAAUUGUUCUUUGAUUUUUUCUAAUGUAGCUGCGUACUGUACAAUCAGAGGUUCCUAAAAUGCGAACUCCAAUAUAAAUUGUCGAGCAACUAGUUGAGAAUCUGUUCUAAUGAUUAUUGAACAGGCCCCCAAGCUUUUGAGAAUUUUCAUGCCUUGAAUUACAGCUUCGUAUUCUGCUAUAUUAUUUGUAGCUGAGAAUAGUAAUCUGAUAGAAUGUUCAUAUAUCCUUUGGUCUGGAGUGAUUAUUUUUAUUCCCACUCCUGCACCUGUACUGCAGCUUGAGCCAUUAACCUCUACUAUCCAAGGAUUUUCCUUGCUUUCCUGUGUCAUGUCUGCAAUGAAGUCUUCUACUGCUUUCCCCUUGAUGGUCGUGGCAGGAACAAAGUCUACAUCGAACUCGCUUAACUCCAGUGCCCACUUCGUCAACCUUCCGGAAGUAUCUGGCAUGUGGAGUAUUCUGCGUAGUGGAUGUUUUGUUAAGACUUUAAUUGUAUGAGCCAGAAAGUAUGCUCGGAAUCUACGUGCUGCAUGUACUACUGCCAGGACUAUUUUCUCCACUGGAGGAUAUCGUGUUUCUGCCCCCUGUAGCCUUUUGGAGUGAUAGUAUAUUGGGAUUUGUUCGUUGUCCCUUUGACAUAUUAGAACUGCACUGAUAGCUUCCUCUGAAGCUGCUACGUAGACAUACAAUUCCUCCCCUACCUUUGGUGAAGUUAGGUGUGGUAGAGAAGCUAAAUGUGCUUUGAGUUGUUGAAAUGCCUCAUCGCACUCUGGAGUCUAUGUUACUGCCCCCUUUUGACUAGUAUUUAGUAACUGAAAAAAGGGUUUGCACUUGUCUGCUGUUUUGGAAAUGAACCGACUGAAGGCGUUGAUUUUUCCGUUCAGCUUUUGUACCUCCUUUAUUGUUCGAGGUGGUUCUGUUUCUAAUAUUGUUGUUAUUUUAUCUGGAUUUGGUUUUAUCCUUUUUGCCCUACAUAGAAUCCAAGAAAUUUUCCUUCUUGUACUCUGAAACUGUAUUUGGCAGGGUUUAACCUCAUCCCAUAACUCUGUAGAGUUUCCAGGGUUUCUUUCAGAUCAUUUGGGUAUUCACCUACUCUUUUGGAUUUUACAAGAAUGUCAUCUACAUAUGCCAGGACAUUUCUUCUUUCUUGCUUUUUGAAGACCUUGUCCAUUAGCCUUUGGAAGGUUGCUCCUGCAUUUCGUAGCCCGAAGGGCAUGACUUUGUAGAAGUAUGUUCCCCACUCUGUGAUGAAUGAUGUGGCUUCUUCAUCAUCUUCUUUCAUCAGAAUCUGGUUGUACCCUGAAUGCGCAUCCAUCAUAGAUAGCAAUUCAUUUUCUGAAGCUGCAUCUACUAAUCUGUCGAUGGAUGGAAGUGGAUAGCUGUCUUUUGGAAAUGCUUUGUUGAGGUAUGUGAAGUCUACGCACAUCCUCCAUUUCCAAUUAGAUUUUUUAACCAUGACUGGGUUAGCUAGCCACUUUGAGUACUUAACUUCCCGGAUGUGGCAAGCCUUGAUUAACUUUUCGCAUUCAGCCUUUGCUGCUUCCUUUCUUUCAGCUGCGAGUAUCCUUCGCUUUUGCCGUAUAGGAGUAAAGCUGCUGUCUAUGUUGAGUUCAUGGCAUGUUAUGGUCCGUUGUACCUGUGAGGGUGCUUCCCCUUCCCAUACAAACGUAUGGAUAUGAGUCUCUAAUAAAUGCAGUAAUGAUUUUUUCAAUUCGGAGGAUAUGGAUGUCCCUAUCAAGACUCCUCCUUUUGAGAGUUUGACUUUCUCAACUUGAUUGGCUGAGGUUAUGUCUUCUUCUUCCUCUCUUUCCUGGAUGUACAGGGUUAUUGGUUUGGCCAUUUUAGUUGCCUUCCUGUAUGAGUUUCUGGAGUCUUUCUGUGCUCCAAAAAUUGUUGCCAUUUUGCGAUCUUUUCCUGGAUACCUGAAGCAUUGGUGGUAAGAUGACGGUAUCGCCUUGAAACCGUGAAUGCUUGGUCUGCCCAGGAUCCUAUUGAACGGAGAAUCUAUGUUGACCACGAUGAAGUGUUCUGUGCGUGAGACUCUCCCGUUUCUUUUUCCUAGGGAUAUUUGUAAAUCGAUGACUCCUACUACUGGGGCCUUUGUGUUUGUGAACCCGUAAAUGGCUUCCUUGGGCGGGGUUAGUUGAUUCACCUUGUAGCCCAUUUUUUCGAAUGCAGCUAGGUACAGUAUGUCUACCGAGCUGUCAUUAUCCACCAUUACUUUACUCAGACUUAAGUCAUCCCCGAUGUCCACCUGUAUUACCAGCGGAUCUUCGUGCGGGUUGACCACAUUAUCUAGAUCUUCCUCAGAGAAGCUUAUUCCCUCGCUUGGGUAUGAUCUUUUCUUAGAUUUUGGUACAGUGGUAGUCUGCAUUACCUUUCGCGAGUAACUUCUGCUUUCUCCUACUAAUCCUCCAUCGAAGAUUAAAUUUAUUACUCUUCUCUUAUGGACAGUGUCUGAGUCGGGACUUUUCGAGCGUUGGCGCUUACCCUUGUUAUUCAGGUCCUUGCAACCUUGUCGCCCCCUUUCUACUUGAUUUAUAUAUUGCUUCAGCUUUCCUUCCUUUACCUGUAUGUGUAGGAAAGUGCUUAGUUCCCUGCAAUUUUCUGUGUUGUACCCGUAGUCCUUGUGGAACUUGCAGUACUUGUUCCUCCUUGCUCGGGCCUUUUUGUUGCAGGGUUUAACUCUUCUGGUUGAGGAAACCUUAUUUUGCCUUUUUCUCUAUUAUAGAUUUCCUCUUUUGGAGUGCUGAAAACCGUGAAUCCCAAGUCUUUAUACCUUAGAUAUUUUGACUUUCCGAACUCCUUAGAUGUCUGAUAGACCUUCCCAUCGUGUUUUGGUCUCCAGGAUGGUUCUCCUUUUUCAAACUUCUGAAAUUUUUUCUUUGGUGUUUCAUAUGCCUUUUUGUUGCUUAUGGCACCUCUUUCUUUUUCUUUUACUUUUUCAUACUCCUCAGAAUUUAUGUACUUCUGGGCCUUUGUUAGCAGGUCUUCUCUGCAUUUCACAUUACUAACAUUUAGCUUUAUGGAUAAUGGUGUGUUCAUGUCUAGCCCUUUUGAGUAUGCGCAGAUCGCAAUUGUUGUGUUCAGGUCGGAGAUUUUUUGCAUGGCUUCUGUGAAUUUAGUUGUAUAAUUCCGAAGCGUUUCUCCAUUUUGUUUGAUUGCGAAUAAUGAUUCAGUACCCUUCCUGACCCUUGUGUUUCCACAAUGCUGAGCAAUGAAUUUUUUCUUCAGGUCUGCAAAACUUGUUAUGCUCCCUGGCUGUAGUUCGACGAACCAUCUGUAUGUAGGCCCUUUUAGUGUUCCUGGGAAUGCUCUGCAUAGGAUGUCAUCCCUUGCUGUGGCCCAUUGCAUUGCUCCCACGAACAUGUUUAUAUGGUCCACUGGGUCCAUCUUCCCAUCAUAGAUCUGUAGCCUGGGUAGCCUGAACUUCAGAGGUGCUGGUUUUACCAUUAGCGAUUUAUGCAAGGCAUCCAUGCCCACCAGCCAGUUCGGGACUUCGCCUUCUUCUCCUUCUGUGUCUCUCGUGCCUUCUUCGUACACAGGUUUUUUAGGAGAAGGUUUAGAUUGCUCCUCUGACUUGCGGGGUGGCAGUGCGCUAGAGUGUGCUGCCUUAUAGCUUGACACCUCAUGUUGUGCCUUAGCCUGUUUUGAUGUUUGAGCCUUUGAAUAAAACAUUGAUGCUUUGGAUUUUUCAAUAUUCUUUAUUUUUUCGCUCAUUUUUGCUAUGGUUUCUUUCAUUUUCUCCAGUUCCUCUAUGGGCAUCUUUACGAAACCGUGAGUGGUUUCUGAUGCUGAAGCCCAUGCUCCCUGAUUACUCACAAGUUUUUCCUUCUGAGGUGGUUCUUCCGAAGGUUUCUCCUUCUCAGCGAGGAGUCAGAUGGCCUCAGCUAUUGCCUGUACUGUGGUAUUCAGGUUCUCCCCUCCUGCUGAUGCAUGGGGGGUUUGCUCGGGCUCACCUUUGGGUUCAGCCUUAGGUCCAGUGGGAGUCCUUUUAUUCUUGUUUCCCUUGGGUGGUCGACCCACUGGUCUUUUAGUUUUUGAGUUGCCAGGCUGUUGCUCUGGCGCCUCCUGAGAAUUUGCUCCUCCUUGGGAAGUACUUCGUAUUACUACCAUCCUGGAGUGUUCGACUUUUUUUUUAAAAAAAGUCGAUUCCUGUGCACUUGGAGAAUUCCUUGGAAAUCGUAGCCUGAAAACGUAGCUCAUUGAGGAAUCGACUAUUUCCCUUGGAAGAAAAAAGUCGAUCCCUUGCUGGCUGAUUUCCUCGCAAGACUCCCUAGCUGGUGACUUGGAAAAAAGUCGAUCCCCUUUUUUCAAAAAAGUCGAGGAGCUUUUGUCGUGAGUAUCUUUGAAUCACAGACGGCGCCAACUGAUGAGGGUGAAACCCGACCAGUACUCCAAAACGCGCAGGCAAGCGCCAAGCGGGGAACUCCGCGGGAAAUCGGACCGGAACUUGAUGAAGCACUGAAUCUGCUACCAGGGCUCGCGGUAGUGCGAGGUUGAUGCCGGAGGCUUUGGAGUCCACGACGCACGCUCUACGUCAAAUACCUGCAAGUGGAAACUAGACGAUUCUAAUGAGACUCGCCGAGUUUCGUAGUGAUGCUCUGGUGUGAGAGAGGAACUUGAAUCGUGCCUUUGAGUGUCCCCUUGAGACCCUUUUUAUAGGAUCUCGGCGGACAUCGCGCCUAUGGUCAUAUAUGGUAACAUUUAUGACGUUGGUUGCGGGCGAGUAACGGUCGUAAGUCACCGAUUCAGGUAUGGAAGUCGCCUAGUUAGGGCUAACUCAGCGAGUUUCUAUGGCCAAGAUGUACAGUCUACCAUACUGCCGAUCUUGCCUUAACUCGGCGAGUUAUCCUGUAUGUCGGCGACUUGGUAGUCCAAUCGGGCGACUUACGGGCUAACUCGGCGAUCUGGACGAUGAACGUGUUCCGCACCGUGGGAGCUCUCCGGGGGUCCUGCCAUAGCGACGGAGCCCUAGUCCUUGUUGAAAGGCGUUGCUGGGAGUGACUGACGUAAUCAUGCAUGUCUCACCAGUACUCCCCCCUGAAGAGAGCACAAGAAACAUGCGUGUAUCGCCAGUCCCCCCCCCAACCAAGGUUCAAUAUGUGUGAUCCAGCACCAAUGCCAAAGCGACAAGAUGAGAUCGAAUCAUCCGCCCACAGUGACGUAAUGAUUCAGAAUCCAUAGGCCAAAGCGUCAAGAAUGGAUCGAGUUCCAGGCCAAGGUAACUCUGUUUAUAGUCCUUCCCUGAUCAAGGACGACUGCACUGUAUUAUCAAGGCCGAAGCGACAGGAUAAAUUCCGGCUAAAGCGACGGAAUCGAUUCAGGCCGGAGCGAUAGAAUCGGGUUCUUGCCAGAGCGAUAGAACCAAGUUCUAGCCGAAGUGAUAGAACUAAUAUUUAUAGUCCACUCUGAUCAAGAGCGAUUUAAAGUCCACAACGACGGCCCCCUUCAAGGCUUAAAGCGACAAGAUGGGUUGAGAUCGUUAAGGCCAAAGCGACAGAACGAUCUCUAGUGUAUCAAGGAAGAAUGCGACAAGAUACUUGGACUCAGUAUUAGAGUCUUAUUCUGGCCAAAGCGACAGAAUAAUACCUGCAAAAAAGAAAAUAUUCUGGCCAAAGCGACAGAAUAAUAUCUGCAAAAAAGAAAACAUUCUGGCCAAAGCGUCAGAAUAAUAUUUGCAAAAAAGAAAACAUCCUGCAAAACAACUAGAUCAGUGUAAAAACGCAUAUGACUAUUGACCGAUUUUACCUCUAGCGAUAUUCUUCUCUUUACUUUAACCAAUCCUCGGUGAAUCUGGCCGAAGCGACAGACUCACCGUGCUCAUGUUUGACGACUUCUUGCCACAGCGACAGAAGUGUCGGGAGAGCUUGUGAUACUCCCCCUCGAAGUUUGACAAUUUCUGGCCGGAACGACAGAAAAGUCGGGAGAGCUUGUGAUACUCCCCCCUGAAGUUUGACGAUAUCUAGCUGAAGCGAUAGAAAUGUCGGGAGAGCUUGUGAUACUCCCCCUGAAGUUUGACGAUAUCUAGCCGAAGCGAUAGAAAUGUUGGGAGAGCUUGUGAUACUCCCCCCUGAAGUUUGACGAUAUCUAGCCGAAGCGAUAGAAAUGUCGGGAGAGCUUGUGAUACUCCCCCCUGAAGUUUGACGAUUUCCGGCUGGAGCGAUAGAAAAGUCGGGAGAGCUUGUGAUACUCCCCCCUAAAGUUGUGGUAGGGGGCUUAUGAUUUUUCCCCCUAAGAUACUAUAUGAUAUCCUAAGUCGGCGACUUAAGGUGUUAACUCGCCGACUUAGCAUUGGAGUUGUUUUUUGAGAAACCUGGAGGUUCGCUGACCUAGAUCGGCGACUUUCCUAUAAACUCGGCGAGUCUUAGUAUGAGCUGGCGGAUCUCUUCGAGAAUCCUUAGGAUCUUGGGAAAUAUUCGCAAAUUUUCCAAGUAUGGAAAUUUCCUCUUCGUAUCCCGUGAUUUUUGCCCAAACUCGGCGAGUUUGCGAGAGACUCGCCGAGUUUGUGGAUUUGGAAAUCAAUUAGCGAUUUUUCUUCGCGUAAUUUUUAGAUUUUCCGGGGGGGUUUUGCUAUUUAUCCNNNNNNNNNNNNNNNNNNNNNNNNNNNNNNNNNNNNNNNNNNNNNNNNNNNNNNNNNNNNNNNNNNNNNNNNNNNNNNNNNNNNNNNNNNNNNNNNNNNNNNNNNNNNNNNNNNNNNNNNNNNCCAGAACUUCCUUCCAAGUCGCCGAGUCUAAUCUUAAAUCGCCGACUUAUGGCAGACGAACCGUCGCUUCCUAGAUUGACAAUGUCGGAGACCGAGGCUCCGGUCGCCGACAUACUGAAUGAUGACAUCGAUGAAGGCUUGACGGGGAUGCUCGAUACCGUCGAGUCUCCGAUUCCCUCGCCUUCGCGCGGUGGGUCGGAGAUUCCGGCUGUCGACGCGCCACAGAACGUCAAGUUCCUUGCUACUGCCCGCGAGUUGCUCGGGCUGACUCCUGAAAACUCGCCGAGUUCCCACAAGAAAUCGGCGAGUUUAACGGAUGACUCCCUGACUCUGGUCGUGGCAGAGCAUUCUGUUGAACUGGGUGAGAUCCCCCCAACUUUUGCACCUAAAUCGGCGAGUCCCCUUGGGAAGUCGCCGGCCAAAGGCAAGGGGGGUGUCCUCAUGUUUAAGAGACCUCGCCGAGUAAUUCAACUCGGAUCGGCGAGUUCCGCACAAACAUCGGCGAGUCUGGACCCUAAGUCGUCGAUGUUGCCCCCAAACUCGGGGGUUGAAGUUGAACAAUUUGCACCCAUCCAAGUGGUGGAGUCUGAGGGGCCGAUUGACGAAUCUGAGAGGCCGAAGAAAAGAAAGAGGAAGCACCCUAAACAUGCAAGGGAUUCCUCUGAGAAACCUAGCGAGGGUAAUGCCCCUAUUCCUCACACUUAUGGGAUGGGUGGUAAANNNNNNNNNNNNNNNNNNNNNNNNNNNNNNNNNNNNNNNNNNNNNNNNNNNNNNNNNNNNNNNNNNNNNNNNNNNNNNNNNNNNNNNNNNNNNNNNNNNNNNNNNNNNNNNNNNNNAUCGCACACUCCUCGUCCUCCUAUGGAAAUGGACAAGGAUGGAGAUCAUGUGAACCUCCCGUUCUACGAGGGAGUGGAGAACCACACCGGCUAUGCACACUGCGAGACCUUGCCGGGUGGUGAGAUUAGACUGCUGCCCCAUAGCGACACGGACGAGGGGUCUUUUGAGGAGGUUUCUGUCAAUGCACCUCUCGUGCCUCAGAACGAGACCGUGCAUCCUUUUUCGAUUACCUCCGCACUUGAAGCCCGUGAAAUUCUGCGCGGAAUUCGUAUAUCUAGGCAUCUGCGAUUUUGGGGAUCGCGAUAUCAGCCCGCGAAUCUACCUCCCGCGGGGUUCCAAGCCAUCCCCAGACUCUACUUCAAACACUUUUCAAUACUGCCAAUUCCUGCACUGAUGAGCGAAGUGUUGCUUCAAGGGGGGGUCUCGCUGUCGCAGAUGCAGGCAGCAUUUUUUGUCUAUUUGAGAGGUUUCUCCAACAUCUGUUGGAGCCAGAACAUCCCUGCAACCGCCGCCUUAUUUUUCUGGUUUUUCAAAUUUGUCAAGGCGCCCGCUUCCGAAUCUGGUCGGUUGGGGUUGGCGAAGUGGUUCAACGGAAGAGAGCUGAUUAUAGAACUCCCCACUAACUACGGGCCCCAGUGGAAGAGUGAGUUCUUCUUUAUUGAUUCUACAUUUGUACGCGGGAGCCGCGAGAGGUGGGCCAACGCUCGCCGCGUACACCUGGAUGUUCCUUGCGCCCUGAGCAAGGCUGAACUGAAGCGGGUGAAGAAGAUCUCUUCUGCUCUCGCUUCUUUCGAAUAUGGGUAAAGAGUUCCUUUCGCUUUGUGCCAGCGAGAGGAUUUUACUUUUUCUGAUGUGGCACACUACCUGCGGUCAGAGGACCCUUCUGGCAACCCAAUCAGGAAGAAGAAGGGUGCAUAUCUCUACCGCGAGGCGGUCCUUCCCCACUUGGCCGUGAGACUUCGCAGCGCAAAGCUGAUUAGAGAACGGAAGGCCCAAGAAACUGGCCCUCGCAGGACCUUCGAGACUGGGUCGAGCUUGAGGUCUGUUCCUGAAUUCACCCCCUUCCGCACCACUUUUGAUUAUCCGGGCUUGUUUGCCGAUGAAGGGGUGCGAGCGAAGGCUGCCCAGCUGCUUUUGACCAAGCCUGGGGAUUGGAUACGUGAAGAGCUCAGCAAAGCUAUAUCUGCUGUAAGUGACUAACGAUUGCUUUUUAUUUAUAUGUUUUUCAUUUUAUUUUUCUAAUUGAUUGUUUUGUUUUGUAGGUCGCGUAUCUAUCAAAUGCAUCGAUUGGGAUGCAAUCUGCUAACGACACACUCCGUUCUCAACAGGAGUACAACAAGCUUGAUGACAAGUAUCAAACUGUCUGCAAAGAAGUGUGGUCGUUGAGAAAGACCCUCCAACGGAAUAAGAAGUUGGAGGAGAAAGCUGCUGAGCACGAGAAAGCGAUGGCGGCGAAGAAUAAAGAGUGUGCUGGGCACCUACUCGAUAUCGCGAAUCUUCACCAACAAUGUGACUCCCUGAAAGAAUCUGAGCUGCGUCUCGCUGCUGCCCUAAAAGAAGUUGAUGGGCUGAAGACGCAGUUAAGUGCGGAAGUGGGAAAUGCUAUGGUUUCUGAAUCGCAAAUUCAGAAACUCAAAGUAGAACUUUCUGAAUCCACUUCUGCCUUGAAAGAUUUGGAAGAUCGCUUCUCUCGGUCCACGAAGAAGUCGAAGAAGAUGAAGGAAGCUCUGGACGCUUCUUCUGAAAAAGUCAAGGAUUUGGAGUUCGAUGUUGAUGGACAAUCUGAUCAACUCCAGGACUUGAACUUUUUUGGUCCUCACGUGUUUACGAGUCUGCCCGCCAACUACAUUUCAGAUAUUAUGGCGUGGCUAGAAGAGCAUCCUGAAGUACAGCUGGAGCACAAGGAGGUCUUAGAUAAGAUCAAAAGCGAUGUUCGCGAAGCGAGGAAAGAAGAUUGAACUAUCAUUGUAAUAGAUUUCCUUCUAUUUUUUGUAGUGGAUUUUGUAAUUUAUUUUUUGUGUUAAUGAAACUACUUCUUUUUCUUUGCUAAUGUGUUUAGACUUAAACUAGAUUUAUAAAUCGUAACUUAGUCGCUCUGGACGUAAGUUAGAUACUUUUAACUCUACUUAGCCACUUAGGACGUAAGUUUGGUCGUAUGAAUCGUAGCUUACUUAGCCACUUAGGACGUGAGUUUGGAAAAACUCGACUUAACUAGAUUCCCAAAUCGUAACUUAGUCGCUUUUGGACGUAAGUUAGAUUCUUUUAACUUUACUUAGCCACUUAGGACUUAACUUAAACUAGAUUCACAAAUCGUAACUUAGUCGCUCUGGACGUAAGUUAGAUUCUUUUAACUCUACUUAGCCACUUAGGACGUAAGUUUGGUCGUAUGAAUCGUAGCUUACUUAGCCACUUAGGACGUGAGUUUGGAAAAACUCGACUUAACUAGAUUCCCAAAUCGUAACUUAGUCGCUUUUGGACGUAAGUUAGAUUCUUUUAAUUUCACUUAGCAACUUAGGACGUAGGUUUAGUUGUACGAAUCGUAGUUGAACUUAACUUAAACUAGAUUCACAAAUCGUAACUUAGUCGCUCUGGACGUAAGUUAGAUUCUUUUAACUCUACUUAGCCACUUAGGACGUAAGUUUGGUCGUAUGAAUCGUAGUUAAACUCAAUAGAUGAAAGUGGUUUGAUAUCCACUAAUUCUUGAUUCGCUCGUGCAAAUAAGAGUCGUAGUCGCAAUUCUAGGUUUGCGUGUCUGAAUUGGACCUAUUUAUUCUAACCCUGGAUUUGAACCCUUGACGAUGUAGUCCGACUCCUAUCCUAGUGAUGGAGUGACUUAUUGAUCCAUAUCAAGGCCGAAACGACAAGAUUGGAUAGGAUCAUUUAGGGCCGUAGCGACGGAAUGAUCUUUGUUCUACUGAGGCCAAAGCGACACAAUAGAUUUAGGGUAUCCAUACGGGUUAGAAUGCGUAAAUAUAUUUUAUGAUUAGCUAACAUACAUACUAGGAAAAUGAAAGAAAAUAAACUUGAUGCUUGUGAGUACUAUGCGUAGUACUGCUGCAUGUUGUCCGCAUGCGCGGUGUUAGGAACCAUCGUUCCAUCCUGUCGUCGUAGGCGAUAAGUUCCUGGCCUUAUCUCCUCCUCAACGAUGUAGGGACCUUCGAAGUUGGAAGAUAGUUUAUUUCUUGGCCUAUUCCUUUCUGUUAUGCUAGCCUGUGGGGUUCUUACUCGUUGUGCGAUAUGCCCAUAGGAUUUCGCACAACUUGUCUACCCAGGUUCCUUUGGCUGACUCGAUUUUCUUUUUCAAUCCCUAUACGAUGGCCUUAUUGGUGACCUCCACUUGCCCGUUUGCCUGAGGUCGGUAAACGGAGGCGAAGUGGAGUUUUAUAUUUAGGUCCUCGCACAUUCUUGAAAACUUUCCCCCCGUGAAUUGUGUGCCAUUGUCCGUGACAAUGUCAUGGGGGACACCGAAUCGACAGACUAUGGGGCGAUAGACUAUUGUCCGUGAUGAAGGAUGUUUUUUCCUUAUCAGGCUCAUGCAUCAGGAUUUGAUUGUAUCCUGAGUGGGAAUCCAUUGUAGAGAGGAGCUCGUUACCGGAUGCUCCAUCGACUAGUUCGUCGAUAGAUGACAACGGGUAACUGUCCUUGGGGCAUGCUUUAUUGAGAUCAGUGAAAUCAAUACACAUGCGCCAUUUGCCAUUGGGCUUCUUGACCGGGACGGGGUUGGCCAACCAAGUCGGGUAUCGAACCUUUCGAAUGUGCCUGCAUUCAAGAGUUUUGAUAUUUCCUCAUUGGCUGUCUCCCGCCUGUCGGGAGUGAAUACUCGACGCUUCUAGCGUCAAGCUGGAAUGGAUGAGCCGACGUUCAGUUUGUGCGCGCAAUCUGUGUCGGUGCCUCACCCUCCCAAACGAACCUGUCCUAGUGCUCCUCCAGGACAGUCACAAGCUUGGCUUUUAAGGCAGGGGGUAACCCCUUCCCUAGUACCACUUGUCCCCCUCCAGCUGGCAUACCUCAGUCUCGUCCGCAGGUUGUAAUUUUCCCUCUCCUCGAUGCUAGGUGGGGCGUGGACGAGCAUGUUGUCGAGUCAGCUGGGUUGCCUUCUUAUACCAUUGUCUAGAAUCUUAUUAUGAUCCUUUAACAGUCGCAACGAACCCGUUUACUGGGUAUCGAAUGCAUUGGUGAUAAGAAGACGGGAUUGCUUGGAUUCCGUGGAUGAAGGGGCAUCCGAAUAUGCCAUGGAAAGUGGAUUCUACCUCCACUACUAUGAAACGACAUAUUCGGCUAACCCUUCCUCGCUUGGAACCAAUGGAUACCUUUAGAUUAAUAACACCGACCACUGGGCGGCGAUGUUAGUGAAACCGUAGAUGGCCUCCUUACAGGGAGAUAGUUCCUCCCUUUUAAAGCCCAUCUUGGUAAAAGUAUCCAUGUAGAGGAUAUCUGCAGAGCUGCCGUUGUCGACAAUCAUCCUCUCGACUCAGGAAUUAGGACCGAUGUCUGCCUGGAUCACGAGUGGGUCCUCGUGAGGUUAUAAGACUUCGGCCAGGUCCUCUUCGAAGAAGUAUAUUGACUUCUUCUCGCGGCUCCGCUUUCCGUUGUCUCGAGGUGUUGAUUGUGACAUCAGCACCUUUCGGGAAUAUCCCCUGUUCUGGCCAACAGAUCCACCACCAAAUAUCAUAUUGAUGGUCUUCCGCUGACGGUUCUCGCUGUUGUCGCUGUCUGGCGAAGGAGAGCGUGAACGCUUCCCCUUUGUGUCAGAUUUGCAGUUGUCCCGUCCUCGAGAUUUCUUGACGAAGUUUCCAAGUUCUCCCUUUGAGAUCAACUGCUCGACGAAAGACGAGAAUUCCCUGCAGUGGUCUGUUAGGUGGCCGCAGUCUUUGUGAAAUUCACAGUAUUUCCCAGAUUGUAUGCAGCCCUCUUUGCCUGCGGGGUCUAAAGAACGAGGGACAGGUAGAUCCGCUCGGUUCUUUAGCUUCUCAAACAGCUCGCCUUUGCUGAUAGUAAGCGGGGUGUUCCUUUUCCAUAGUGGAAUUGCACCCUUUGGCUUGCUGGUUGAGGCUUGGUAUACCUUGUUAUCAUGCCUAGGCUUCCAUUCUUUUUUGGAAGUCUUAGCCUUGUUACUGGUAUACUUGUUGGAGGUGUCGUGGAAAUUGUUGUUUCCACUGUACCCCUUCCUCUCAAACUUGGGCUUUUUGAAGCUAGGAGUCCCAAGUUCAGCUAGCUUGUUCUCAUCCUCCUCUUCUACCUCAAUGUACAAUUGAGCGCGUUGGAAGAGAUCGGGCAGAGAACUCACCUUGUAGAGAGUCAGAUUUUGGACCAGAGGGGAGUAGGGGACUAAUCCUCUAAUGUAUCCCGCUAUGGCCACACUUGGGAUUAAGUCGUUCACCUCUGUCAUCAUUGUGGUGAACUUGACCGUAUAAUCCCUCAGAGACAGUUUAUCCUGUCUGAGUGCCAGAAGUGCGUUGGCACUGUGUUUUAUCCUUAUCAUCCCCACAUGCUGGGCGAUGAAUUUGGAUGAGUGGUCUGCGAAGCUGGUGACUGAGCCAGCUGGCAGACCAGAGAACCAUCGAUAAGCACUGCCCUUGAGAGUGCCGGGGAAUGCUCGACACAGCAGCCCAUCAUCGAUGGUUUGCGGUUCUAAGACGUUGAGGUAGAGGUUCACGUGAUCUUGUGGAUCACUUGAACCGUCGUAUGCCUCGAUCCUGGGUACCCGCCAGUUUGUUGGGAAAGAUCCCUUUAAAAGGUCAUCGCGAAGAGGAGCACUUUUAACCCUUAGGAUCUCGUGCGGGUUGCCGACAGCUGGGUCAGUGGCCAACUUCUGCCGAAGAUCCUCUACGAACCGAGUAGUAAGCUUUCAGAGCGACUCUUACUGAGUCCCGUCUUGAGACGGGAACUCUGUUUUUUUUUCUCCACAGAUGGAGAAUAGAUGGAUCCAGAUUCAUCCGCUCUUUCACGGAUGGAGGUGGUCCUAUGGCUCCUCGCUUGCUCGAGGUUGGUCAUCCUUCUUUCAAUGUUGUCCAUGAAACUGAACAACCUUUCUUCCAAGGUGGGUGGAGCCUUGGGCACUAUGUAUUCCUCGACAUGAGGAGGAACCGAGUUUGUUUCAACAGGUUGAGCAUUGUUGGGUCCCUUAGGUCGGGAUUGCUCACCCUGUUCCAGCUCAGUUGCUGGCAUUUUUCCCUUACUUCCUGUGGCGUAAGGGUGCUUUUGUUUUUCGAUGAUUGCCAUGAAAACAAAAGCGAAGAAGUACCAAAGCAGAGAGGUACCUGACUGAGCUUGUUGGAAAAACAAAAAAUAAGCCGGCGAGUUAGGGGUUAACUCGGCGACUUUGAAAUUUUGUGGUUUUCCCGAACAAGGUCGUGGACAACACUCUUAGCUAGCAGACGAUAUUCCGGAUCGGGCGAUUCUCAAGGAUAAGUCGGCGAUUUAAGGCUAAAUCGGACCUUAACCGAGAAUCGGACGAUCUAAGUCGGCGAUUUUUUGACAAACUCGGCGAACUCUCUAGGAAUGCUCGAGCCGGAUUUUUAAAAAAUCGCGAUUACGACGGGAUACCGGUGGUUCGGUAGUCCCACAGACGGCGCCACCUGAUGAAGCACUGAAUCUGCUACCAGGGCUCGCGGUGGUACAAGGUUGAUGCCGGAGGCUUUGGAGUCCACGACGCACGCUCUACGUCAAAUACCUGCAAGUGGAAACUAGGCGAUUCUAAUGAGACUCGCCGAGUUUCGUAGUGAUGCUCUGGUGUGAGAGAGGAACUUGAAUCGUGCCUUUGAGUGUCCUCUUGAGACCCCUUUUAUAGGAUCUCGAAGGGCGCAAUCAAAGGCGGACAUCGCGCCUAUGGUCAUAUAUGGUAACAUUUAUGACGUUGCCUGGCGGCGAGUAACGGUCGUAAGUCGCCGAUUCAGGUAUGGAAGUCGCCUAGGUAGGGCUAACUCGGCGAGUUUCUAGAGCCAAGAUGUACAGUCUACCAUACUGCAGAUCUUGCCUUAACUCCGUGAGUUAUCCUGUAUGUCGACGACUUGGUAGUCCAAUCGGGCGACUUACAGGCUAACUCGGCGAUCUGGACGAUGAACGUGUUCCGCACCGUGUGAGCUCUCCGGGGGUCCUGCCAUAGCGACGGAGCCCUAGUCCUUGUUGAAAGGCGUUGAUGGGAGUGACUGACGUAAUCAGGCAUGUCUCACCAGAAAGCGUCCAUGCUCUCCUUCGCCGGACAGCGACAGCAGCGAGGACUGCCAACGGAAAACCAUCAAUAUGAUAUUUGGUGUUGGAUCCGUUGGCCAGAAUAGGGGAUAUUCCCGAAAGGUGCUAAUAUCACAAUCAACACCUUACGACAAUGGGAAACGGGUCCGGGAAGAGAAGUCGAUAUUCUUCUCUGAAGAGGACCUAAACGAUGACCUGCAACCGCACGAGGAUCCACUCGUGAUUCAAGCAGACAUCGGUCCCACUUCCCGUUUCGAGAAGAUGAUUGUCGACAGCGGCAGUUCCGCGGACAUCCUCUAUAUGGACACCUUCACCAAGAUGGGCUUUAAAAAGGAGGAUCUGUCUCCUUGCAAGGAAGCUAUCUACGGGUUUACUAACGUCGCCGCCCUAGUGGCUGGCGUUAUUGACCUGAAGGUCUCCAUCGGAUCCCGGCGAGGGAGGGUUAGUCGAAUAUGCCGUUUUAUAGUGGUAGAAGUAGAAUCCACUUUUCACGGCAUCUUUGGACGACUCUUCAUCCAUGGGAUCAAAACAGUCCCGUCUUCUUAUCACCAGUGCAUACGAUACCCAGUCAAAGGGGUCGUCGCAACCCUCAAAGGAUGACAAAAAGAUUCUAGACAAGGGUAUAAGAAGGCAACCUAGCUGCUCAAACUAAACAACAUGCUCGUCAACGCCUCACCCGACAACGGAGAGAGAGAGAAAUUACAACUCGUAGAUGACACUGAGGUAUACUAGCUGGAGGGGGAACACGUGGCACUAGGAAAGGGGCUAGCCCCCGACCUAAGGGCCAAGCUUGUGACUGUCCUGGAGGAGCACCAGGACAGGUUCGUUUGGGAGGAUGAGGUUCCGACAUAGAUUGCGCGUCAAAUCAUGACGCACAAGCUCAAUGUCGACCCAUCCAUCCUAGCUCGUCGCCAAAAUCGUAGAGUGCUCACUUCUGACUAACGGGAAGCCGCCAACGAGAAUGUGCGAUGACCUGGGCAAAAAACUCCACUUCGCGUCUGGCGAUAUACGCAUAUUUCUUGUGCUCUCUUUAGGGGGGACUUGAUGAAGCACUGAAUCUGCUACCAGGGCUCGCGGUGGUGCGAGGUUGAUGCCGGAGGCUUUGGAGUCCACGACGCACGCUCUACGUCAAAUACCUGCAAGUGGAAACUAGGCGAUUCUAAUGAGACUCGCCGAGUUUCGUAGUGUAGUGCUCUGGUGUGAGAGUGGAACUUGAAUCGUGCCUUUGAGUGUCCCCUUGGGACCCUUUUUAUAGGGUCUCGGAGGGCGCAUUCAUCGGCGGAGAUCGCGCAUAUGGUCAUAUAUGGUAAUAUUUAUGACGUUGGCUUCCGCCGAGUAACGGUCGUAAGUCGCCGAUUCAGGUAUGGAAGUCGCCUAGUUAAGGGCUAACUUGGCGAGUUUCUAGGGCCAAGAUGUACAGUCUACCAUACUGCCGAUCUUGCCUUAACUCGGCGAGUUAUCCUGUAUGUCGGCGACUUGGUAGUCCAAUCGGGCGACUUUACGGGCUAUCUCGGCGAUCUGGACGAUGAACGUAUUCCGCACUGUGGGAACUCUCCGGGAGUCCUGCCAUAGCGACGGAGCCCUAGUCCUUGUUGAGUGGCAUUGAUGGGUAGUGACUGGUGUAAUCAGGCAUGUCUCACCAGUACUCUCCCCUGAAGAGAGCACAAGAAACAUGGUGUAUCACCAGUACCCCCCCCCCCGUCAAUCAAGGUUCAAAGUGUUUGAUCCAGCACCAAGGCCAAAGCGACAAGNNNNNNNNNNNNNNNNNNNNNNNNNNNNNNNNNNNNNNNNNNNNNNNNNNNNNNNNNNNNNNNNNNNNNNNNNNNNNNNNNNNNNNNNNNNNNNNNNNNNUUCCAGGCCACGGUAACUCAUGUUUAUAGUCCUUCCCUGAUCAGGGGCGACUGCACUGUGUUAUCGAGGCCGAAGCGACAAGAUAAAUUCCGGCCAAAGCGACGGAAUCGAUUAAGGCUAUUUAGCGACAUAAUCGGGUUCUUGCCAGAGCGAUAAAACCAAGUUCUAGCUGAAGCGAUAGAACUAAUGUUUAUAGUCCACUCUGAUCAAGAGCGACUUAAAGUCCGCAACGACGGCCCCCUUCAAGGCUUUUUAGCGACAAGAUGGGUUGAGAAUCGUUAAGGCCAAAGCGACAGAACGAUCUCUAGUGUAUCAAGGCAGAAUGCGACAAGAUACUUAGACUCACUAUUAGAGUCUUAUUCUGGCCAAAGCGACAGAAUAAUACCUGCAAAAAAGAAAAACAUUCUGGGCAAAGCGACAGAAUAAUAUCUUUAAAACAACAAAAGAAAACAUCCUGCAAAACAACUAGAUCAGUCUGAAAACGCAUAUGAUUAUUGACCGAAAAUAACUCUUGUGAUACUCUUUUCCUUACUUUAGCCAAUCCUCGGUGAAUCUGGCCGAAGCGACAGACUGACCGUGUUUAUGUAUGACGACUUCUGGCCAGAGCGACAGAAAUGUCGGGAGAGCUUGUGAUACUCCCCCCUGAGUGUUGACGAUCUCUAGCCAAAGCGAUAGAAAUGUCGGGAGAGCUUAUGAUACUCCCCCCUGAGGUUUGACAAUUUCCGGCCGGAGCGACAGAAAAGUCGAAAGAGUUUGUGAUACUCCCCCCUGAGUUUUGACGAUCUCUAGCCAAAGCGAUAGAAAUGUCGGGAGAGCUUGUGAUACUUCCCCCUGAGGUUUGACAAUUUCCGGUCGGAGCGUCAGAAAAGUCGAGAGAGUUUGUGAUACUCCCCCCUGAGUUUUGACGAUCUCUAGCCAAAGCGAUAGAAAUGUCAGGAGAGCUUGUGAUACUCCCCCCUGAGGUUUGACAAUUUCCGGCCGGAGCGACAGAAAAGUCGAAAGAGUUUGUGAUACUCCCCCCUGAGUUUUGACGAUUUCUAGCCAAAGCGAUAGAAAUGUCGGGAGAGCUUGUGAUACUCCCCCCCUGAAGUUGUGGAAGGGGGCUUGUUCCCCCUAAGAUACUAUAUAAUGUCCUAAGUCGGCGACGUAAGGUGUUAACUCGCCGACUUAGCAUUGGAGGUAUUUUUGUGAGAAACUUAGAGGUUUCCUGAAGGGAGUUGUGAUAUUCCCUCUUAAAAUAUGACGAUUUCUGGCCGGAGCGACAGAAAUGUCGGGAGAGCUUGUGAUACUCCCCCUUUGAAACCUGCAUAAAAAGAUGUUCUGGCAGAAGUGGUAGGAGUGUCGGAGAGAGUUUGUGAUAAUCCCCCCGAAUUGUGACAACUUCUGGCCGAAGCGACAGAAGUGUCGUGGAGAGUUUGUGAUACUCCCCUUGAAAUGAAAUGACUUCUAGCCAAAACGACAGAAGUGUUGAUGAGAGUUUAUGAUACUCUCCUCCAAAGAUGGGCGAGACGGCUUCCGGCUAGAGUGACAGAAGCGUCGGAGAGAGUUUGUGAUACUCCCCCUUAAAUCGUGCCGUUGUGACAGAUUGUAGAGUUAUGCUUUGGAUGUUUGUGCCCGAGGAGAUAGAAUUAUUGAGGAGAGCUUGUGAUACUCCCCUCGAAAAUCAUGUCCACUCGACAACUUUUAAAAUAUUGGUGUAACGAAGGUAUUGGAGGGAGCUUGUGAUACUCCCCCCCGAGAAUCAUGUCGUCGUGACAUAUGAAUUUUUGAAAUAUUUUGCAAUCUUCCUAUUUUGAUUAUCAGUGGACUACCUUUUUUCUUUGCCAAUCUUCCAUAUAAACCACCUUUAAAUUGUAACCUAGGCUCAAAACUAGAUUCACAAGCCGUAACUUAGCCACUCUGGACGUAAGUUAGACUCUGCUAACCCUUGCUUAGCCACUUUGGACGUAAGCUUGGUCGUACGAAUCGUAGUUCAGUCGUCAGUUAAAUUAGCGGAUAAUUUAUAUCUCCAAAUUGACGCAGAGUUGCAAAGAAUAGUACCGAUAAACCAAAAAUUAAGAUGCACAAUAUUAUUUGGAAUCGUAGGGUUGGAUCCGCAAUUUAGGACUACAAUUCUAGAUUUGAACCCCGGUGUUUUAGCCAAGCUCCAGCCAUAGCGAUAGAGUGACUCUCGAUCCUCAUCAAGGCCAUGGCGACAAGAUGGGAUAUGAUCAUUAAGGCCACAGCGACAAAAUUAACACCAGGGUACCAUUAAUUGUAGUCGCAAAUAUUUAGAAUCUCAUGAUUUGAUUCGUAAAUUGGAGUCGUAAUUUAGAUUCUUAAGUCGCACCUUGGACUUGUAAAUCGUAAACUUGACUUGAAAUCGUAAUUUAGACUCUUUGUCGUAAAUUAGAUUUUGUAAUCAUCACUUAGACUCGUGGGUCGUAAGCUAGAUCUGAGUAACGGGUGUCAUCCGGCCAAAGCGACGGAUUGAUCCCUAUGAAAUUAUCCCUUGUAGGUUUGCUGUAUUAAUCCUAGAACCGUAACGUAGGCUCGAAACUGGACUCGCAAAUCGUAAACUAGACUUUUAAUCGUAAUUUAGACUCUUUGUCGUAAAUUAGAUUUCGUAACUAUCACCUUGACUCGUGGGUCGAACAGGUGAUAGAUAAGGUCGAAGCGACGGAUGUCACCCAGCCGAAGCGAUGGGUGAUUGAUCCGUCUGAAGUGAUGAAUGAUUAUUCUAAAUGUUGCAUACAUAUCGCAGAAUAAAAUCGCUGUUAGAUUGCGACAACUAAUAGAACAAUAGAAACGACAACCAAAAGAGUAGAUGAGUUCUUUUGAUGUUUGGUUGCCACUGACGGAUGCAUAGCCUAUUUAGUUACUCUAGCCUAUCUUUGACAGAUGGUAGUUACCCACUAAUAGCGUGACACGCUUGAUUGUGAGUGUGAACUGUGGCUUUCGUUGCCAUCACUGUCAUAGGAUUGAGAGCGUAAGCUAUGGCUUUGGUGGCCAUAACUUUUACCAGACUGAGAGUGUGAGUUAUGACUUUGGUGGUCAUAACUGUUACCAGACUGAGAGUGUGAGUUAUGACUUAGGUGGCCAUAACUGUUACCAGACUGAGAGUGUGAGUUAUGACUUAGGUGGCCAUAACUGUUACCAGACUGAGAGUGUGAGUUAUGACUUAGGUGGCCAUAACUGUUACCAGACUGAGAGUGUGAGUUAUGACUUAGGUGGCCAUAACUGUUACCAGACUGAGAGUGUGAGUUAUGACUUUGGUGGCCAUAACUGUUACUGGAUUUAGGGUGUGAGCUAUGACUCUGGUGGUCAUAACUGCUACCCGGAGACUCCUCGCUGUAUCGAAGAAGAGUAGUCGAGGUUUCGGAUUGGGAACUUGUAUCCUUGUAUGCAUCUUCUUUAGCAUAGCAAGGUUUCUUCCGGCUGGACGGCUCGAGUUCGUCCAGCUUGUCAUUGUUCUCCUCUUCUAUCUCAAUAUACGAUUGAGCUCGUUGGAAGAGGUCGGGCAGGGUCUCCACUUUAUGGAGCAUCAGAUUCCGGGCCAAAGGGGAGAAGGGUACCAACCCUCUCACGUAUCCUGCUAUGGCCAUACUUGGGAUUAGAUCGUUCACUUCUGUCAUCAUCGAAGUGAACUUAAUCGUGUAAUCCCUCAGAGACAGCUUGUUCUGUCGUAGUGCCAGUAGUGCGUUGGCACUGUGUUUUAUUCUGAUCAUCCCCACAUGUUGGGCGAUGAACUUGGAAGAGAGGUCCGUGAAGCUGGAGACUGAGUCAGCCAGCAGACCGGAAAACCAACGAUAUGCGUUGCCUUUCAGAGUGCCUGGGAAGGCCCGACACAACAACCCGUUAUCGGUAGUUUGUGGCUCCAAGAUAUUCAGAUAGAGGUUAACAUGAUCCUCAGGAUCUGUCGUUCCAUCGUACAAGUCUAUCUUGGGACACCGCCAAGAUUGCGGAAAAGGUUUUCUUAGGAGGUCCCUAUGAAAGGGUGCCCUUCCUAUUCUGAGAAGAUCAUGUGGGUCCCUUAGGUCAUGCUUGUCUUUACGAAGCAUUUCCUUGAUUACCCUAUUCAUGAGUGUGGCAUCGUAAUCCGCACGAGUCGUGGAACUCGAAGGUACACCCGAGUGAUGUACUGCGGACCUGUGGUGAGAACCGAGAUGCUUGUGUCUCUUUGUUUCACCGUGGUUGUCUCCCAUAGGAGAGUGAUGCGAGUUGGAUUUGGGUUGCCCUGAAAUUGCAGGACUCUUUCCCUUGAGCUCUCGAAGCUCCUUGGAUAUCCUUGAUUCGGACCGAUGAUGCAUACUUAAGUUUGUCUUCCUCAAAUGUGGGUUAGACUUGCUUGUCGUACAUCGUAUGGUGGUCCGGCUCCUUGAAGCCUCUAGGUUGGUUAUCCUUUUGUCCAACUUCAACAUAAGAGCAUGCAUGUGCGCAAGCCUCUCCUGUGUUGUCGGAGUUGGGUUCACAUCCCCAUUUAGUGUGAGUGGUGAGGACACCUCAUGUGUAGGUGAUGGUGCAUUAGAGGUUGGUACAGUACGAGGACCAACCCCUCUGCUAGAAACUCCUACCUCAGUAGCAGUGGCGAGAGCUUUCUUUUUAUGAUCCUUAGUAAAAGGAGCCAUAAAUGGGAUGGUUGCUUCUAUCGGGUCGAAGCAACAGACUACGAGCGGAAGUUCUUCCGAAGUGUUGGAAGCUAUGGGUAGGUACCUGCCCCCCCGGGUGUCACAAAACAGAGAACAUUUCGUAUAAUAUUUCUUUACAGUUUUGUGACCCCCUUGAGCAGUGAAACUAGUCCCCAAAGUUUGAAAUCUGCCAAAAAAUAUCGAAAUUUUUUUGCAUUAUUUUGGCAGAAAAUUGUGCCGCCGGAGGUUGUUUUUGGGAUGCCUCUUUAGACCUAUCCCAGAAAAGAUUCCUGGCACUCUUUGGAAAUUCUGCUCUUUGGUACUCGUAGAGAAAACUUUUUUCACAUGAUAUGUGGUCUCAUAAUCCCAAAAUCGGAUCUGGGUAUUCCGGAGGUUGACCGACGAAAUCACUGGAAGUGAAAAAAGGCGAAAAUCCCCAUACUCUUUUUUUUUUUUUACCGAAACGAUGAGGCGAAUCCAACCGUGACGAUGGAUUUUCGUUUCGGUAAAAGAGCUGGGCUAUGAGUGGUCUUAUUCAGCCAAAGCGAUGAAUGAAGACGAUAAUCGAAUGGGCGAGUUUGCCCCUUGAUAGGCGAGUUUGCCCAAGAUAGGCGAGUUUGCCCAAGAUAGGUGAGUUUGCCUAAGAUAGGCGAUUUUUACUUGGGAAAAAUCGAACCUAUGCGAAGACGUAAGUUCCAGAACAAAGGAUGACUUGACCGAGCUUGUUCAAAAAACAAAGAAAUAAGUCGGCGAGUUAGGGGAAAACUCGGCGACUUUAGAUUUCGAGGUGUUUUUCGAACAAAGUCGUGGACAGCACUCUUACCUAGCAGACGAUAUCCGGAUCGGGCAAUUCUCAAGGAUAAGUCGACGAUUUAGGGCUAAAUCGCACCUGAACCGAGAAUCGGACGAUCUAACUCGGCGACUUUUUAACAAACUCGGCGAACCCUCUAGGAGAGCUCGAGCCGGAUUUUUAAAAAAUCGCGAUUACGACGGGAUACCGGUGGUUCGGUAGUCCCACAGACGGCGCCAGCUGAUGAAGCACUGAAUCUGCUACCAGGGCUCGCGAUGGUGCGAGGUUGAUGCCAGAGGCUUUGGAGUCCACGACGCACGCUCUACGUCAAAUACCUGCAAGUGGAAACUAGGCGAUUCUAAUGAGACUCGCCGAGUUUCGUAAUGUAGUGCUCUGGUGUGAGAGUGAAACUUAAAUCGUGCCUUUGAGUGUCCCCUUGGGACCCCUUUUAUAGGGUCUCGGAGGGCGCACUCAUCGGCGGAGAUCGCGCCUAUGGUCAUAUAUGGUAACAUUUAUGACGUUGGCUGCCGCCGAGUAACGGUCGUAAGUCGCCGAUUCAGGUAUGGAAGUCACCUAGUUAAGGGCUAACUUGGCGAGUUUCUAGGGCCAAGAUGUACAGUCUACCAUACUGCCGAUCUUGCCUUAACUCGGCGAGUUAUCCUGUAUGUCGGCAACUUGGUAGUCCAAUCGGGCGACUUUACGGGCUAACUCGGCGAUCUGGACGAUGAACGUGUUCCGCACCGUGGGAACUCUCCGGGGGUCCUGCCAUAGCGACGGAGCCCUAGUCCUUGUUGAGAGGCGUUGAUGGGUAGUGACUGGUGUAAUCAGGCAUGUCUCACCAGGACUACUGGUGAGACACGCCUGAUUACGUCAGGUACUCCAAGCAACGCCUUUCAAACAAGGACUAGGGUUCCGUCGCUUUACGCCGGAUCCCCGGAAGGCAUCCAAAGUGCGGAGCAAGUGUGUACGUCAAGUACUCAAGGCAACACCUGGGAAUCGCCGACUGGGACUACCAAGUCGCCAAUUCCAGGGGUGCAUCGACGACUCCGGACAGGGCACUCGGGUCAGGUAGANNNNNNNNNNNNNNNNNNNNNNNNNNNNNNNNNNNNNNNNNNNNNNNNNNNNNNNNNNNNNNNNNNNNNNNNNNNNNNNNNNNNNNNNNNNNNNNNNNNNGGGGUUGGCCAACCAAGUUGGAUAUCGAACCUCUCGAAUGUGCCCGACAUUCAGAAGUUUAUAUAUCUCUUCGUUGGUAGCUUCCCGCCUGUCAGAGGUGAGCACUCGACGCUUUUGGCGACGAGCUGGGAUAGAUGGGUCGACAUUGAGUUUGUGCGUCAUGAUUUGACGCGCAAUCUGUGUCGAAGCCUCACCCUCCCAAACGAACCUGUCCUGGUGCUUCUCCAGGACAGUCACAAGCUUGGCCCUUAGGUCGGGUUCUAACCCUUUCCCUAAUGCCACGUGCCCCCCCUUUAGCUGGUAUACUUCAGUCUCAUCCACGGGUUGUAAUUUUUCCCUUUCCUCGUUGUCAGGUGGGGCGUGGACGAGCAUACUGUUUAGUUUUACCAGCUGAGUUGCCUUCUUAUACCCUUGUCCGGAAUCUUUUUGCGAUCCUUUGACAGUUGCAAUNNNNNNNNNNNNNNNNNNNNNNNNNNNNNNNNNNNNNNNNNNNNNNNNNNNNNNNNNNNNNNNNNNNNNNNNNNNNNNNNNNNNNNNNNNNNNNNNNNNNNNNNNNNNNNNNNNNNNNNNNNNNNNNNNNNNNNNNNNNNNNNNNNNNNNNNNNNNNNNNNNNNNNNNNNNNNNNNNNNNNNNNNNNNNNNNNNNNNNNNNNNNNNNNNNNNNNNNNNNNNNNNNNNNNNNNNNNNNNNNNNNNNNNNNNNNNNNNNNNNNNNNNNNNNNGGUGUCCAUGUAGAGGAUGUCCGCGGAACUGCCGCUAUCGACAAUCAUCCUCUCGACACGGGAAGUUGGACCGAUGUCUGCCUGAAUCACGAGUGGAUCCUCAUGUGGUAGCAAGACAUCGUCCAGGUCCUCUUCGGAGAAGUAAGUGGACUUCUCAUCCCGAGGCCUUUUCCCAUUGUCGCGAGGUGUAGACUGUGACAUCAGCACCUUCCGGGAGUAACCUCUAUUUUGACCUCUGUUUUGACCAACGGAUCCACCACCAAAGGUAGAGGUUGAUGUGAUCUCUUGGAUCACCCGAACCAUCAUACGCUUCUAUCCUUGGUACCCGCCAGGUUUGUGGGAAGGAUACCUUCAAAAGGUCCUCUCGAAAAGGAGCACUUUUGAUCCUCAUAAAUUCCAUCGGAACGCUGGCAGCUGGGUUGACCGCCAACUUCCGACGAAGAUCUUCCACGAACCGAGUUGUAAGAGUCUUUUCAGUAUGACUCUUGCUAGGUCCAACCUUUGAUUUGGAAGGUCGUGGACCAUCCUUUUUCUCCCCAGAUGGAGAAUUAUGAGAGGCCGAUUCACCCGCUCCUUCGCGGGCAAUGGUCCUCUGACUCCUCGCUUUUUCGAGGUUGUUCAUCCUUUGCUCCAUGUUCUCCAUGAAUUUGGAUAACCUCUCCUCUAAAGCGGAAGGAACUGAUGUUUGAGGGCGCAGACUGACUUGAGGCUCCUCAGGCCCUUCUGGCCUGUUUUCUUGAGGAGGGUCAGUUUGGGCCCUGUCAGCUAUCAUCGAGGAUUUGCCUUUGCCCCUCAGAUGAUAGUCGUGCCUUUGCCUUUCGGAAGUCAUUGUAGACAAAAGCGUGUUCCAACUAGAGAGCAAGUGCUUGCUAGAACUAGCCCGAGAGAAAGAACCAGGUGGAGUCGGCGAUUCACUAUGGGAGUCGGCGAUUCACAGAGGUGGAAUCGGCGACAGACACUAGUGGAAUCGGUGACUGCUUUAGGUAGCUCUUCUUUCGAGUCUGGCCGUGGACAACACUUUUAGCUAGCAGAAAAACCCGCAAUCGGCGAUUCACUAGGUGGAAUCGGCGAUUGCCUAUGUGAAUCGGAGAUUCCUUGACACAAAGUUAGCGACUCACCCUAAGGGAAUCGAGCUAAGUUUUGCGAAGAAAAUUUUGCGAUUACGACGGGAUAUCGUGGUUCAAUAGUCCCACAUACGGCGCCAGCUGAUGAAGCACGGAAUCUGCUACCAGUGGGCUCGCGGGGUGGCGAGAUGAGCCGGAGGCUGUGGAGUCCACGACGCGCGCUCUACGUCAAACACCUGCAGAAGAGGAGGGGAAUCGGCGACUCACGUGGGAGUAGGCGAUUCGGGCUCCUUGGAUGCUCUAGUGUGGAGUGUGAGUCAAGAGGAUGAGUUGUUGAUGGAGGACACCCCUAGGACCCCUUUUAUAGGGUCCUAGAGGCGUUCCCAUUCAAUGGAUUGGGGCCCACCUCAUUAUGGUGCCCUAUUGAAGGGUGCCAUAAUGGGGUGGGCCCGCCCGCGUAACGUCUGGGAGUCGGCGACUCAGGUGUGGGAGUCGCCGAUCCAGGAGUGGAGUCGCCGAUUCCUUGGAGGUCAAGUCCUCGAUCUACCAGACCCGAGAUCCCUGGCCAGAAUCGGUGAUUCACCCUUGGAGUCGGCGAAUUGGUAGUCCCAGUCGGCGACUCCCAAGUGUUAACUUGGGCUCUUGACGUAGACACGUGCUCCGCACCGUGGAAGCCUUUCCGGGGGUCCGGCAUAUAGCGACGGAACCCUAUUCCUUCUUUGAAGGGCGUUGCUGGGAGUGACUAACGUAAUCAGGCAUGACUCACCAGUGAACUUGGCAACUUCGUCAAGGGACCCCGAGGACGAGACGGUUGUAAACCUGACCCGAAGGGGAAGCGUCCACGCUCUCCUUCACCGGACAGCGACAGUAGCGAGGACCGCCAGCGGAAAACCAUCAAUAUGAUAUUUGGUGGUGGAUCCGUUGGUCAGAACAGAGGUUACUCCUGGAAGGGCUCUGAUGAAGCACUGAAUCUGCUACCAGGGCUCGCGGUGGUGCGAGGUUGAUGCCGGAGGCUUUGGAGUCCACGACGCACGCUCUACGUCAAAAUACCUGCAAGUGGAAACUAGGCUAUUCUAAUGAGACUCGCCGAGUUUCAUAGUAGUGCUCUGGUGUGAGAGUGGAACUUGAAUCGUGCCUUUGAGUGUCCCCUUGGGACCCUCUUUAUAGGGUCUCGGAGGGCGCACUCAUCGGCGGAGAUCGCGCCUAUGGUCAUAUAUGGUAACAUUUAUGACGUUGGCUGCCGCCGAGUAACGGUCGUAAGUCGUCGAUUCAGGUAUGGAAGUCCCCUAGUUAAGGGCUAACUCGGCGAGUUUCUAAGGCCAAGAUGUGCAGUCUACCAUACUGCCGAUCUUGCCUUAACUCGGCGAGUUAUCCUGCAUGUCGGCGACUUGGUAGUCCAAACGGGCGUCUUUACGGGCUAACUCGGCGAUAUGGACGAUGAACGUGUUCCGCACCGUGGGAGCUCUCCGGAAGUCCUACCAUAGCGACGGAGCCCUAGUCCUUGUUGAGAGGCGUUGAUGGGUAGUGACUGGUAUAAUCAGGCAUGUCUCACCAGUACUCCCCCCUGAAGAGAGCACAAGAAACAUGGUGUAUCACCAGUAACCCCCCCGUCAAUCAAGGUUCAAAGUGUGUUGAUGAAGCACGAAAUCUGCUACCAGUAGGCUCGCGGGGUUGCGAGGAGGGCCGGAGGCUUUGGAGUCCACGACGCGCGCUCUACGGCGAUUUGGGCUCCUUGGUUGCUCUAGUGUGGAGUGUGAGUCAAGAGGGUAAGAUGAGAAUGGAGGACGCCCCUAGGUCCCCUUUUAUAGGGUCCUAGAGGCAUUUCCAUUCAAUAGAGUGGGGCCCACCUCAUUAUGGUGCCCUAUUGAAGGGUGCCAUAAUGGUGUGGGCCCGCCCGCGUAACGUCUGGGAGUCGGCGACUCAGGUGUGGGAGUCGCCGAUCCAGGAGUGGAGUCGCCGAUUCCUUGGAGGCCAAGUCCUCGAUCUACCAGACCCGAGAUCCCUGGCUGGAAUCGGUGACUCACCCUUGGAGUCGGCGACUUGGUAGUCCCAGUCGGCGACUCCCAAGUGUUAACUUGGGCUCUUGACGUAGACACGUGCUCCGCACCGUGGAAGCCUUUCCGGGGGUCCGGCAUAUAGCGACGGAACCCUAUUCCUUGUUUGAAGGGCGUUGCUGGGAGUGACUGACGUAAUCAGGCAUGUCUCACCAAUACUCCCCCCUGAAGAGAGUAUGGCUACUCGCUACUGUCGAUCCUCGCUACUGUUCCGUUGGCGAUCCUCGCUACUUUUCCGUUGGCGAUCCUCGCUACUGUCGCUGUCUGGCGAAGGAGAGCGUGGACGCUUCCCCUUCGGGUCAGGUUUACAACCGUCUCGUCCUCGGGAUCCCUUGACGAAGUUGCCAAGUUCACCCUUUGAGACCAGUUGCUCGACGUAAAUCUAGAACUCCCUGCAGUGGUCGGUGAGGUAGCUGUGGUCCUUGUGAAAUUUACAGAACCGUCCACCCUUUUUGCGACUACUUUUUGUUACCGGAUGCUCCAUCGACUAGUUCGUCGAUAGAUGGCAACGGGGAACUGUCCUUGGGGCAUGCUUUAUUGAGAUCAGUGAAAUCAAUGCACAUGCGCCAUUUGCCAUUGGGCUUCUUGACCAGGACGGUGUUGGCCAACUAAGCCGGAUAUCGAACCUCCCGAAUGUGCCCUGCAUUCAAGAGUUUCGAUAUUUCCUCAUUGGCUGCCUCCCGCCUGUCAGAAGUGAGUACUCGACGCUUCUGGCGUCGAGCUGGAAUGGAUGAGUCGACAUUCAGUUUGUGUGUCACGAUCUGACGCGCAAUCUGUGUCGGUGCCUCACCCUCCCAAACGAACCUGUCCUGGUGCUCCUCCAGGACAGUCACAAGCUUGGCUUUUAAGGCAGGGGGUAACCCCUUCCCUAGUGCCACUUGUCCCCCCUCCAGCUGGUAUACCUCAGUCUCGUCCACAGGUUGUAAUUUUUCCCUUUCCUCGAUGUUAGGCGGGGCGUGGACGAGCAUGUUGUCGAAUUUUGUCAGCUAGGUUGCCUUCUUAUACCCUUGUCUAGAAUCUUUUUGUGAUCCUUUGACAGUCGCAACGAACCCGUUUACUGGGUAUCGAAUGCAUUGGUGAUAAGAAGACGGGACUGCUUGGAUUCCGUGGAUGAAGGGGCGUCCGAAAAUUCCAUGGAAAGUGGAUUCUACCUCCACUACAAUGAAACGGCAUAUUCGGCUAGCCCUUCCUCGCUUGGAACCGAUGGAUACCUUUAGGUCAAUAACACCGGCCAAUGGGGCGGCGAUGUUAGUGAAACCGUAGAUGGCUUCCUUACAGGGAGAUAGCUCUUCCCUUUUAAGGCCCAUCUUGGUAAAAGUAUCCAUAUAGAGGAUAUCCGCAGAGCUGCCGCUGUCGACAAUCAUCCUCUCGACUCGGGAAUUAGGACAGAUGUCUACUUGGAUCACGAGUGGGUCCUCGUGAGGUUGCAAGACAUCGUCCAGGUCCUCUUCGAAGAAGUAUAUUGACUUCUCCUCGCGGACCCGCUUUCCGUUGUCUCGAGGUGUUGAUUGUGACAUCAGCACCUUUCGGGAAUAUCCCCUAUUCUGGCCAACGGAUCCACCACCAAAUAUCAUAUUGAUGGUCUUCCCCUGGCGGUUCUCGCUGUUGUCGCUAUCUGGCGAAGGAGAGCGUGGACGCUUCUCCUUUGGGUCAGAUUUGCAGUUGUCCCGUCCUCGGGAUUUCUUGACGAAGUUGCCAAGUUCUCCCUUUGAGAUCAACUGCUCGACGAAAGAAGAGAAUUCCCUGCAGUGGUCUGUUAGGUGGCCGCAGUCUUUGUGAAAUUUGUAGAAUUUCCCAGACUGCGUGCGGCCCUCUUUGCCUACAGGGUCCAAAGAACGAGGGACAGGUAGAUCCGCUCGGUUCUUCAGUUUCUCAAACAGCUCGCCUUUGCUGAUUGUAAGCAGGGUGUUCCUUUUCCAUAGUGGAGUUGCACCCUUUGGCUGGCUGGUUGAGGUUUGGUAUACCUUGUUGUCAUGCCUAGGCUUCCAUUCUUUUUUGGAAGUCUCAGCCUUGUUACUGGUAUACCUGUUAGAGGUGUCGUGGAAAUUGUUGUUUCCACUGUACCCCUUCCUCUCAUACUUAGGCUUUUUGAAGCUAGGAGUCCCAAGUUCAGCUAGCUUGUUCUCGUCCUCCUCUUCCACCUCAAUGUACAAUUGAGAGCGUUGGAAGAGGUCGGGCAGAGAAUUCACCUUGUAGAGAGUCAGAUUUUGGGCCAGAGGGGAGUAGGGGACUAAUCCUCUAAUGUAUCCCUCUAUGGCCACACUUGGGAUUAGGUCGUUCACCUCUGUCAUCAUUGUGGUGAACUUAACCAUAUAAUCCCUCAGAGACAGUUUGUCCUGUCUGAGUGUCAGGAGUGCGUUGGCACUAUGUUUUAUCCUUAUCAUCCCCACAUGCUAGGAGAUGAAUUUGGACGAGAGGUCUGCAAAGCUGGUGACUGAGCCAGCUGGCAGACCAGAGAACCAUCGAUAAGCGCUGCCCUUGAGAGUGCCGGGAAAUGCCCGACACAGCAGCCCAUCAUCGAUGGUUUGCGGUUCCAAGACGUUGAGGUAGAGGUUCACGUGAUCUUGUGGAUCACUUGAACCAUCGUAUGCCUCGAUCCUUGGUACCCGCCAGUUGGGUGGGAAAGAUCCCUUUAAAAGGUCCUCGCGAAGAGGAGCACUUUUAACCCUUAGGAUUUCGUGCGGGUUGCCGAUAGCUGGGUCAGUGGCCAACUUCCGCCGAAGAUCCUCUACGAACCGAGUAGUAAGAGUCCUUUUCGAGCGACUCUUACUGGGUCCCGUCUUGAGACGGGAACUCUGUUUUGUUUUCUCCGCAGAUGGAGAAUAGAUGGACCCAGAUUCAUCCGCUCUUUCACGGAUGGUGGUGGUCCUAUGACUCCUCGCUUGCUCGAGGUUAGUCAUCCUUCUUUCGAUGUUGUCCAUGAAGCUGAACAACCUUUCCUCCAAGGUGGGUGGGGCCUUGGGCACUAUGUGUUCCUCGACUGGAGGAGGAACCGAGUUUGUUUCCACAGGUUGAGCAUUGAUGGGUCCCUUUGGUCGGGAUUGCUCGCCCUGUUCCAGCACGGUUGCUGGUAUCUUUCCCUUACUUCUUGUGGCGUAAGGGUGCUUUUGUUUUUCGAUGAUUGCCAUGAAAACAAAAGCGAAGAAGUACCAAAGCAGAGAGGUACCUGACUGAGCCUGUCGGAAAAACAAAAAAUAAGUCGGCGAGUUAGGGGUUAACUCGGCGACUUUGAGAUUUUGUGGUUUUCCCGAACAAGGUCGUGGACAACACUCUUAGCUAGCAGACGAUAUUCCGGAUCGGACGAUUCUCAAGGAUAAGUCGGCGAUUUAAGGCUAAAUCGGACCUUAACCGAGAAUCGGACGAUCUAAGUCGGCGAUUUUUUGAUAAACUCGGCGAACUCUCUAGGAGAGCUCGAGCCGGAUUUUUAAAAAAUCGCGAUUACGACGGGAUACCGGUAGUUCGGUAGUCCCACAGACGGCGCUAGCUGAUGAAGCACUGAAUCUGCUACCAGGGCUCGCGGUGGUGCGAGGUUGAUGCCGGAGGCUUUAGAGUCCACGACGCACGCUCUACGUCAAAUACCUGCAAGUGAAAACUAGGCGAUUCUAAUGAGACUCGCCGAGUUUUGUAGUGAUACUCUGGUGUGAGAGAGGAACUUGAAUCGUGCCUUUGAGUGUCCCCUUGAGACCCUUUUUAUAGGAUCUCGGAGGGCGCAAUCAAAGGCGGACAUCGCGCCUAUGGUCAUAUAUGGUAACAUUUAUGACGUUGGCUGGCGGCGAGUAACGGUCGUAAGUUGCCGAUUCAGGUAUGGAAGUCGCCUAGUUAGGGCUAACUCGGCGAGUUUCUAGGGCCAAGAUAUACAGUCUACCAUACUGCCGAUCUUGCCUUAACUCGGCGAGUUAUCCUGUAUGUCGGCGACUUGGUAGUCCAAUCGGGCGACUUACGGGCUAACUCGGCGAUCUGGACGAUGAACGUGUUCCGCACCGUGGGAGCUCUCCGGGGGUCCUGCUAUAGCGACAGAGCCCUAGUCCUUGUUGAAAGGCGUUGCUGGGAGUGACUGACAUAAUCAGGCAUGUCUCACCAUAACUCAAGUACGCAGAACUCUGCUUCGCUAGGACUCCUUCCAUUCCAAAUGACCUGCCUUUAAUGAAUGGGGGAUGCCUCCUAUUUAUAGGGAUUCUUAUGGGGGUAAUCUGGUCAUUUGGGCAGUAACCGCCUAACUGCCUAACUGAUCAGAUCGAGGCCCAAGGUCGACUUUCCAGAGAUCGACUUUCUGGGGAUCGACUUUCCUGGUGAUCGACUUUAUUCAGAAUUCGAUCUCAGGGAAGUCGAUCCUCAGGAAAGUCGAUCUUCCUAAGAUUUGACUUGGGACCUCCCCAACCCUAGAAUAGGUACCUCAACUCAUCUUAGGCUAUCCGGACUUCUAGUUGCUGGUAAGUUGUGACCGAGUUCGGGAUACUGUAUCACCAGUACUCCCCUCUCCUCUGCGUAUUAGAUACUUUGGGAUACGUCUUUUAGUACUAUGGUCUGUGUUGUACCUUGUACUAUCAGUAUUCCCCCCCUCUUUGCGUGCUGGGAUGUGGAUUUUUGGUGAUGUCCCUGGAUGUAAGAUCCUCUCUCACCAGUAUUCCCCCCCUCUCUACGCCUGCGAGGUUGUAUCUAUGCUUCCACGGAGGUUGUCACGCGCUUUUGCCAACUAUUGUCCGGUUUGUCCUAGCCGAAGCAUACUCCUUGCGCACCUGUCUGGCCUGAUUCUCCCGCGGAACCCUGCUUGCCCACCUUGACGCCUUGCCAGAGCUAUCCUUGAGCACCGUUUGGGUUCUCUUCCCUGUGGCGGGUUUUGAGAGUACCCGACCCCCUCCUUUUGUCCGCCUUUCUGCGAUAGGGGUUGAGUGUGCUUCCUCAUCUACCCACGUUCAUCCGUGGGUGAGGAUUAUUACUUGAAUACUUGCCCCCUUCUUUUGCUCGCUUUCCUGCGACUGAGGCUAGGUGUUAUUCCUCGUCUACCUACGUUCAUCCGUAGGUGAGGAAUUUGAGUACUUGCCCCUUCCUUUUGCUCGCUUUUCUGCGACUGAGGCUAAGUGUUACUCCUCGUCUACCUACGUUCAUCCGUAGGUGAGGUUUGUUGUUUGAAUACUUGCCCCCUCCUUUUGCUCGCCUUUUUGCGACUGAGGCUAAGUGUGAUUCCUCGUCUACCUACGUUCAUCCGUAGGUGAGGAUUGUUGUUUGAAUACUUGCCCCCUCCUUUUGCUCGCCUUUUUGCGACUGAGGCUAAGUGUGAUUCCUCAUCUACCUACGUUCAUCCGUAGGUGAGGAUUGUUGUUUGAAUACUUGCCCCCUCCUUUUGCUCGCCUUUUUGCGACUGAGGCUAAGUGUGAUUCCUCGUCUACCUACGUUCUUCCGUAGGUGGGGUUUACUUUUUGAGUACGUCCCUCGUCUAACACUACGUUUCCGUAGGUGAGGUUCACCCUUUAGCCGAUGUGUUUCCCGUCUAACCUACGUUCUUCCGUAGGUGGGGUUCACUUUUUGAGUACAUCCCUCGUCUAACACUACGUUUCCGUAGGUGAGGUUCUCCCUUUAGCCGAUGUGUUCCCCGUCUAACCUACGUUCUUCCGUAGGUGGGGUUCAUUUUUUGAGUACAUUCCUCGUCUAACACUACGUUUCCGUAGGUGAGGUUCACUCUUUUCUUUGGAUAGGAUACGCAUUCUGACUCUGUUACCAUUAAGACUUUCUUUGCCCACGUUCUUCCGUAGGUAGAGUUAAUUUGAUGUCCUACUUUAUUACUGCGUCCAGUAAUGGUAGGAGUUCAAAUAUCUUUGUAUGGCUCAGCUCAUUUUGCUGCCGUAUCACCGUCCGAAUUGUGGACUUCCACGAUUCCUCAGGAGCAUUUCGUGUUACACCCUCCUGUCUUGGUGUGCCUCCGCAACUUCAACUUUUCUGGGUUCUUUUUUCUGCGCCCCUUUUAUGUGGAAAAAAGUCGAUCCCUGUUGCUUUUGCUCGACUUUUGCUAAAUGUUGAUCCCUUAUUGAGUUUGCUCGACUUUUGCGAAAUGUCGAUCCCUUAUUGAGUUUGCUCGACUUUUGCGAAAUGUCGAUCCCUUGUUGAGUUUGGUCGACUUUUGUCAAAAAGUCGAUUCCUGAUGCUCUUGGUCAAAAGUCGAAUUUGCCAUUUUUUGUCCUUUUGUUCUGUCCUAGGGUCUAUAAAUAGGACCCCUAGGUCCUUCUUUUCCUUCAUCCAUGGCUCUUCUUGUGAGUCUCUUUGCUGAUUUUAUUCAGGGAGAGAUUGAGGAGCUGGAUCGAAUUUUGAAUAUUUUGGAUCCUCGGUUGUCAACCUUGGAUCUUCCUUCUCUGCGCCAGCUCAUUGUUGAGCGGCAGAGUGUUGCUGUUGCUGCUAGGGAAUCUAUUUUUGAAGAAUGGUCUGGCGGCGAUCUUCCGCCCGCCUCUUCUUCUGUUGUCCCUCGUGGCCGACGUCGGAGGCGUCCCCGCCGCGGUGCUUCCCCGCUGGAUCAGGUCCCUCGUCGCUUGCGUUGCCGUAUCAAUUUUAAUUAGGAACCUGUAAUAUUUUUUAUUCAUCAUUUUUUGUAAUUUUGAAUAAAUAUACUUUUUUACCUUUUCCUUUAUUCGACUUACACCUUUACUCUGAAGUACGUUAGUGUAACCGAUGCUUUCUUUUGGUCAAUAUCAUAUUCUCCUGUCAUUUUCUGAAGAUGUCGGAUCUUUGACAACGAGUCGAUCUCAUUUCUCCCUGGAAAUGUCGAUGUUAAAAAAGUCGAUCUCAUCUUUUUCUGAGGAUGUCGAUGUGUGACUGCCGAUCCUUUUCUGAAGAUGUUGAAUUUUUGACAACAAGUCGAUCUCAUUUCUCCCUGGAAAUGUCGAUGUUGCUCAAAAAAGUCGAUCUCAUCUUUUCCUGAGGAUGUCAAUGUGUGACUGCCGAUCCUUUUCUGAAGAUGUUGAAUUUUUGACAACAAGUCGAUCUCAUUUCUCCCUGGAAAUGUCGAUGUUGCUCAAAAAAGUCGAUCUCAUCUUUUUCUGAGGAUGUCGAUCAGAGUAGUGUGGAAUGUCGAUCUUGACCUUCUCUUUUGAAGGUUUCGAAUUCCUUGGUAAAUGUCGACGUCUAUCCCCCUUUUCUGGGAAUGUCGAACUCAGUUUUCUGUGGAAUGUCGAGCUCAAUUUUCUGCGGAAUGUCGAUCCUGACCUUCUCUUUUGAAGGUUUCGAAUUCCUUGAUAAAUGUCGACGUCUAUCCCCCUUUUCUGGGAAUGUCGAACUCAAUUUUCUGCGGAAUGUCGAUCCUGACCUUCUCUUUUGAAGGUUUCGAAUUCCUUGGUAAAUGUCGACGUCUAUCCCACUUUUCUGGGAAUGUCGAACUCAAUUUUCUGCGGAAUGUCGAUCCUGACCUUCUCUUUUGAAGGUUUCGAAUUCCUUGGUAAAUGUCGACGUCUAUCCCCCUUUUCUGGGAAUGUCGAACUCAAUUUUCUGCGGAAUGUCAAUCCUGCCCUUCUCUUUUGAAGGUUUCGAAUUCCUUGAUAAAUUUCGACGUCUAUCCCCCUUCUGGGAAUGUCGAACUCAAUUUUCUGUGGAAUAUCGAUCCUGACCUUCUAUUUUGAAGGUUUCGAAUUCCUUGGUAAAUGUCGACGUCUAUCCCCCUUUUCUGGGAAUGUCGAACUCAAUUUUCUGCGGAAUAUCGAUCCUGACCUUCUCUUUUGAAGGUUUCGAAUUCCUUGGUAAAUGUCGACGUCUAUCCCCCUUUUCUGGGAAUGUCGAACUCAAUUUUCUGCGGAAUGUCGAUCCUGACCUUCUCUUUUGAAGGUUUCAAAUUCCUUGGUAAAUGUCGACGUCUAUCCCCCUUUUCUGGGAAUGUCGACGCCUUUUCCUGAAAUGUCGAUGCUCUUUCCUGAAAUGUCGAUGCCAUCUAGUCGGAUUUUGGGGUUUUUCUUGGACUGGGCCGUCGUGGCCCUGCCGGGCCCGUGGGCUUUCCGGCCCAACGGGUCGACCCGGAUGAACAGUGCCCGCGACGGUUCGUCUUCGACUUUCUCCUAUAAAUAGCGGAGGAAGUUCAUUUGUUUCUCACUCGUUUUCUUCGCUCCGACCGAUCGACUUUCUCGCAUCGCUUCGACAUCUCGCUUCGACAUCUCGCUUCGACAUCCCGCUUCUCCGCUUCGACUUCCAGCCUGCGUAAGGCUUCGACUUGAGCCUUGGAGGUGCAGCUUUCUGGGGUCCGACUUUCGUUGUCGGGCUCUUCUGAGGUUGCACUGGGUUCGACUUCCUUGGGGUCCGACUUUUCUGAAAGUCGGUCCUUUUCGAAGUUGUUCCCCUUUGGACUGUGGUCCGACUUUGUGAGGUUUGAUGCCUUGUCAUCGACUUUUCAAAGUUGGAUCCAUUUUUACUGGGAUCGACUUCCAUGGGUAUAGCCUUUGCGCUCCCGAAGUGCUUCCCUUGGUCCGAGUUUACUAGGGUCGACUUCCUGAGACCCUUGUCUCCUGAAGGUCGACUUUCCUAGGAUCGACUUCUGAGGUCGACUUCCCUGGGAUCGACUUCUGUGGUCGACUUCCCUUAUACUGCUAGUUCGAUUCCCUAAAGUCCGGAUCGACUUUUCUUGGGAUCGACUUUUGCCAUAACUUGGGCUGACUACUAUGUUCUUCGUGCAGGUUCAUAAUGUCUUCUGACAAGGAUUCGCAGCGAGAUCUUCCUCUUAAUGAGGAGCGAGCUGUUGUUAUCAGCCCUCAGGUUCCUCAGACUGCUCCUGCCGCAACAGAGUCUGUUCCCACCGAGGUUCAGGUUGCUUCUGCUGAAUCAGAGUCUGUUCCCACCGAGGUUCUGACAACUUCUGCCGCAGUCGAUUCAACUCCUGCCGUGGUUCAGACUCCUCCUGCCGUGGUCGAGUCUAGAGUUGAUUCGCCUUCCUCCUUACCUGUUGGAAGUAAGCGAAAAGCUCUUUCUCGUCGUACGUGCAAGCCCGUACCUAGUAAGUUACUAUUAUUUUUUAUUUCGUAACUUACCCUUUGUUUGUUUCUUUUGUUCAUUCUUCCCCCGCACGUUCCAGUUCGGGGUCUUCUACAUCUAGCUCGGGAAGCUCGGGUUCUUCCUACUACAGCUCCUCUUCUCCAGAGCGGGAUGUAGAAAUUGGAGGAACCCCUCCUUCCGUCGUACUCCUCCUCCUACCAUUAUUUUGUCUACCAUUCCUGAGGAGGUUCCUACUACGGAGGAUCCAUCUGCGACUACAGACGGUUCUGCUCAACUUCCUCCCGAAGUCUGUAGUCAGAACGUUCACCUUUUAGAGGACUCUCCUUUGGGUUACCCUCCUGAGACGGAGGAGAAGUACCCCUUUCCUUCUCCUCUUGAGGAGAAGAGCGUCCCAUCCUUCUAUCGGGAGAUGGAUGGUUCUUGGCGCAACGGUUUCCACGUUGUCCCUAUUCUCGACUGGGGCGUGUACGGGACUGGGUAUGGUUCUUUCUGUGCAGUCUCUCUGACUGAUAUUCCGGGCUACCCCUUUCCUCUAAUGCGGGUAGAUUCUCUAACACCCUUUCCCUGGAUGCCGCCCAAAGAAUUUUGAGGGGGUUAGAGCUUAGAGAGAGAGUGUACUGGGCGUACCCUUCUGAGAACACUGGUGACGUGCCCCCUAUUUCAUGUUGGCACUCCAUCGGAUCUAUUUCACUAACUUUCCGAUCCUUCCGAUCCCUUCCCUAGUUAGUGAAAUCCUUUUAUAUUCUGGAUUGUGUAUCUCCCAGAUGGGUGCCGCCUUUUUCUUUUAUGUCAGGGACUUUAUUAAUGUUCUCAGGGAUGCUGGCAUAGUCCCAACUAAUCGGCUGUUCUUCCACUUCUUCACUUUUCAAAAUCCGAAGAAGGGCAGCCCUUUUAUUGCAUGUGCCAGCCGUGCUACUUCUGUCACUCACUCUGCCCUCUUGAAAGAUCCUCCGACCAGGCGGAACAAGAGUGAGUUUAUUUUUGUGGAUUGCAGGCUAUGCCCUGGUAGCAGACUUCUCUCUGCAUCCACUAUUGGUCGUAGGCCUACUCCCCGUCCUGUUCUGACUGAGGAUGAGGGAGCUUCUGUGCAAAGGCUGGCCUUUUUACACGCUAUCGCUGUGCCUGUCGGUCACGCGAUUGACGAUACUUUUAACCGACAAGGUCUUCCUUUGCCUGUUUUCUUUUCUUUUCGCUUUCUAUGUGUAUGCAUUUUUCUAACUCUGUUUAUAUUCUUUGCAGAUUUUUAUAUGCAUAAUCCUGGAGGUGUCCCUGAACGCGUUGGGCAGAAUGAAACUGGCACGAAGGUUUACGCACCUGCCUCUAAACCUUCUAAUGCCAAACAUCUGAGGCAACGUGCUCUUGAGAACGCCUAUACGAUGGUGCAUUCCCCUACUCCUCCUGAAGAAGUCCAACGAACUGAGGAAGGGGAGGUACCUGCGGAGGUACCUGUGGAAACUACUCCUGUGCAGUCUCCUGCUGCUGCCAGACUCUCUUCCUUCUUCCGCACUCCAGAAGAGGAACGAGAGAGGACUGCUGGGAAGGAGACCCAGUUUGAGGGGUCUGAGGGGAGUAGAAGCAAGAAAUGAACUCCACCCCCUAGGACCGACUCCUCUCCUCCGAGGAAAUCAAGGAGACACUCCCCCAGGCGACGAGCUUCUCCGCGCCGAAGAUUUUAUACUGGGGAGUCCUCCCGGGGCCGAUACAAUUACGCUUCCACCCGGGAGACACAGCUGCCGGGUUACCAAGGUUCGCACCCCCGGAAUUACGGGACCAAGUUCCCUCUGGUCGCUGACACGGAUGCCGCCCGAACCACACUGCGGACUAUAUCUGGGUAUCCGAUGGACCGGACUGUCGAAGAAAUCGGACAGAAUCUGAGUAACGUAAGUACUUUUAUUUUAAUAUUUUCAUGAGUAUGUUCUUACUCAUUCUUUCUUUUUGCAGCUCGCCUAUUUGUUUCAAGGCCGC
RNAcentral lists this long non-coding RNA (58369 nucleotides) under Zostera marina. RNAcentral's name for it is "long non-coding RNA (ZMAR_LNC005471)". Lineage: Eukaryota; Viridiplantae; Streptophyta; Magnoliopsida; Alismatales; Zosteraceae. The record is from RNAcentral.